UAUGUUAGUAUACGUAAGUAAAGAAUUAGCGUACGUAGUAAUCCGUCCGAUGCAAUAAAUAGAUAAUUGAAAAAAAAAUAAAAAACACCGAUAAAAAAAAAGAAAACGGCGAUAAAAGAAGCGAUGAUAAAAGAUGAGAUUCAUCUUGUCGAUUAACGAAGAUAACAGCCAAAGAAAGAAGAAAAAAGAGUACUUGAGCUGAUUCGGUAAAUAAUGAAGAAAAAGUUGUCAUGUGGCAACUUUAAGAGAAAUAAUGUAUAGGUAUAGAUGUUAUAACUUGUCGUAUAGAUUUUAUGUUACUUGAAUGAUCAAGUUAAUAAGAAAUGAUUUAAAAGUACUGACCAUACAUCGUGUAAUUGACUAAAGGAUUUAAUGGUUGGUAUUUUAUGUAUCUAGUGUAAUUGGUUAAAGAUUUAACUGUUUGUAAUUUAUGUCCCAUGUUCGAAGCCUGGCUAGCUAUGUAUUUCACAUUUAUUGGUCUUUUACUUUUUAAAAAAUAAAAUAAAUGAAGUGUACAGCAGACUACCUUCCACCCAAAAACAAAAUUUAAAAAUAGUCUUAAUUACACUUCUGCUUAUACGCAUGCAGGUGGAAAUCAAAAGUAAUGCACUAACAAAAGUAAAAAAUAAAUAGUAAUUCCCUAAUAAAAGUUUAGUUUUAAAAAAUAAAUAAACAAAGUGAAUAACAGGCUAUCUUUUUCUCAAAAAUGAGAAGUCAAAACAAGUACUAAAGAUAUUGAUUAGAGAGAUAACAAAAGGAACAUAAUUAUAAAUUUAUGUCACUAAAUGUAUAAAAUAUAUUUUAUUAUUUUCUAUCAAAUAUUUGAUCUUUUCGAUAACAAAAUGAGUAGAAUAUGGCGAUGUUAAAUAUAUAUUGAGAUCGUCUUCUAUCAGAUUGAUCAUUUGAAUAACAUAAUUUUUAAAAAAUUACUGAAAAAAAAUUUAUGACUUAGGGUGUGUUCAUUUGACCGUAAAAUAUAUUGAAACUUAUAAAUUACUUUCCAGCUAGAAGAAUUAUUUUCCGUAUAUUUAUUUAGGCGUAAAAAUUUUUUCAGAAAAAUAUUUUUACAGAUUUAAGAAAAAUAAAGUAUUUUGCUUUUACUGAUUUUUAGCAAAAAAACGAAAACUCAAGCCACAAUUUUUAUUUUUUACUGUUUUUUUAGCAAAAACGAAAACUCAAGCCACUUAAAUUUUUUAUAUUUAUUUUUUUAAUCAAACUAAACAAAUAUAAUUUUUUUUUUCUUUCAGCCAAAUAAACACAAACGAAAAAUUAUUUUUUUUUUACAAAUCAAAUGCUAUAGAAAGCAAAAAAAAAAAAAAAAAAAUUCNNNNNAAAGCAAAAAAAAAAAAAAAAAGUUUUCAUCAAAAUUUUUUAAUAAAAAAUAUCUUUUAAAAUUUUACAUAGAAACAAACACUCUGGCUCAAAUAAUAUAUUACUAAGAGAGAUCAAUCUAACUAAAAACAAAACAUAUUAAGAAGGACACUCUCAUGAGUCCAAUGGUGGGGGAGGGGAGGGGUAUAUGAUUGAGGGGGAAAUUAGCUCUUACUAUGAGUCCAUCCCCCACGUACGCGCGCCUAACUCACGUGGGAGUGAUGGGCACGCAGGAGACACGGCUCUGAACCUUUGGGCCUCAUUUAUUCCUCCUGUCCCCUUGACUAUACCUUCCCCCUCUCCUGGGUUUGGUAACAGCAGGUUGUUUCUAGCUUAUAAUUAACUUGCUUUUGCUUAAAGUUUGAACUAAAUAUUUUCAUACUGAUCCCUACAAAUAUAAUAAAUAAUAAAUAUAUUUUUAUAAAGUUUAAUAUUCAUAUAUUGCUUCUAUAAAAAUUCUGAUGGUUUCAAAUAUAUUCUUGUCGUUAGAAAAAUAUAGUUAACCAUAGAUUAAAUACUUAAUUCUGGUUAAUUUUUGACGUUUUUACUCCUCUUAUAUUAUACUUUUAUGACUUUUGGAGGGACAUAUUUGUGAUUGCAAAAUUGAAAAUAUAAACAGUUCUCUAAUGGUUGUCUAAUAGUAACAAACCAAAGUACAUAUUUGAAAACAUCGAUUAGAACUUUUGCAAUAACAACAUAUCAAGGUUUAACUUUGUAGAAAUAUAUUUGUCAUUUACUAUAAUGCAGGGACCUGUAUGAAAUUAACUCAUAUAUAUAUAUGUAUAUAUAUAUAUAUAUAUGUAUAUAUAUAUAUAUAUAUGUAUAUAUAUAUAUAUAUAGAGAGAGAGAGAGAGAGAGAGAGAGAGAGAGAGAGAGAGUUAAGCUGGAAUACUAUUGAUAGCAAACGGCUCCCGUUGCUAUCCAUUUGUUUUCGAUGAUAGGACCUCCAAAUCGACAAUCGGCACCGUUGAAUAUGAUCUAUACCACUUGAAGCGUAAAACUAAAUUUCAUACUUUUUCGAUAUUAUUUUGUUGUCCAUCAUGUGGACACAAAAAUAAACAGUUGAAAAUGAAUAUUCUUUAAAAGUGAUGAUAGGAGUCUUGUAAUCAAGAUCGAGAGUUUAGAUUUUGUUCUAAAUAGUUUAAAGAAUUUUCUAAUCAAAAUGAAAUUGAUUUGGAUAUCUUUACACCGUCAAAUGAGAAAACGCCUCAUAUCAACCGUUAAAAUUACAAAUUUUGAAACGCUUUGAUCAUUAAGCCAAUGAUAUUGAAUGUAGUGUCCCUGGUAUUUUGAUUUGCCUGUGAGGUUUCAGUAUCUGGGGCUUGUCGACACAUCUGGAGAGUGUUGGGACAAGUCGGAGUCGUUUUGGCGCGAAAUGGAUGCAAAACGGACUCAACGCUAGAUGAGAGUGGAGUUCUAACGCUGAAAUCCGUAAAAUGUAGGAUUUCAGUGUUGAGUACCGGUACCAUACAGGGGAGUACCGGUACCCCAGUGUAAUUCCAGAAUAACAUGCUCUCGGGUUGCGCCAAUUUGAUGCUGAGUACCGGUACCGCAUCGGGCUAGUACUGGUACCCGGUGUGCGAGCUUACGGGCUGAGAGGCCGAGUACCGGUAAGCAAAUCGGAUACCGGUAUUCCAGCUGGAUUUUUGAGUUGGUGAGGGGUAUUGUGGUCAUUUUGCUGCUGGAUAAGAUCGCCACUUACCCUCCCUCAUAUUUAUCAACCCGACCAGCUGAGAAGGUAUACUUCUCCUUUUCCUUUCUCUCUCUAGUUUUGAGCGUGUGCAUGGUGGAGGUCGCGACUCGAGCUGGGGAGAUUUUCGACGUCGAUUUGGAGGGUCGUUCGAGCGUGCAUGCGUCGCGGUUGCGUCGUUGGAGACCGGCGAGUGUGUGAUUUUCUCUCCUUUCGACUUCUCGCCAUGGUUGGAUGAGCUUUUCGAGGUAGGUUAAUGUUAACCGAAAUUAUUGGAAUACCUCCUAAGUUUUAGCAUCAUCGACAUGAAUCAUUGGUUUAUUUUCUUGCUAUUACUCGAAUUCAUAGAUUAGAGGUAAAAUCUGAAUUUGGAGUUAAGCUAAUAGUAUAAUUUUACAUGUUGGCCUUGAAAUUGACUUAGAAAAAAACAUAUAGAUCCUACACUGUCAUUUUCUGAAAAUUACCAGAUUUAGCUUUAUGAGCUGUGGUUCUUUUGUAUCAUCGAUGUUAGUAUGCGAUGGAUACCCAGAUUAGUGUAGGAUGAGUUUACACUCCUGCUGGGAUGCCGAGCUUAUUUUACAGUAGUGUGUAGACUGUUUCGGACUAUCGGGUGCCGUCGCGGUUGACGGUGGACUCAGAUUACUGUUUGUGCAUCAGAUUAUGCCAAGGGCACGUGAGUUUUGGUUGUAGGACCAGUUAGACCCAUUUGCUUUGAUUAUAGCCUGUGAGAGCCUGAUUGAGCUCGACAGAGACUCGCUUGCAUACUCGGUUGGAUAGCGCCAACAAGUGCCACUCCGGAGUCGGACUUUGUGCGUUUGCGUUGAUGUCGUAGUAUCCGAGUUGGACUUGCUCUCCACCGACAACCCAGCGUGGUGGUGGUCGGUGUAGCUUCGACAGGGGGGACGAGUGCGUUCACAGUCCCUAGUGAGAUUGGGUCAGAGAGUGUAUUUCUAUAUCUACAGAGAGUGGUUAACGAUAGUAUAGUAACAUAUAGCUGUAGAGUUUUAUCAGCAUCCUUUACUAUCCUUGUACAUACUUUCUGUAAACUUAGUGAGUGAGUCAUUGAGGUCGGUAGCGGUACCCACUAAGCACUACUUCUUUUUGCAGUAGUUCUCACACCCAAUUGUUGACCCCUUUUUGCAGUCUUUUUCUGCGGCUGCUGCUGUCGCUGAUUCUGAUCGUCGAAAGGGAGUCGCAAGUUAGAUCCCUUCCAGCUUUAUUGCAGUACUAGAGAAGUACCUUCCACAGGUAAUUUUGGGGCUUUUUGUACAUAUGGUCUUAUUAUCUGGGUACUCGCUGAAGCGAGUGAUGUAAUAAACAUUUUGUAUGUACUGGAACCCCUCGAGGUUAUAUAUAUAUAUAUAUAUAUAUAUAUAUAUAUGCUACUAUACUAUCAAUAAUACUAAGCCCUUGGUAUUAUUGAGUUUUCGGCCGUUGGAUGAAAAGAUGUGCGGUUCGGAUGAUAGUGGUCCCCGGUUAAAUUGAUAGUGGUCCCCUAGGGUUGACUAGGUGGUUGGUUUAAUAGUAUAAUCUAACGGUGGAAAUGAUCAAAGAGUAGAUCUAACGGUAAAAAACUCAAUAGUACCAAGGGCUUGGUACUAUCGAUAGUAUAGUAGCCGGACUAUAUAUAUAUAUAUAUAUAUAUAUAUAUAUAUAUUAUUUUCAGUUUGGGGCAAUUGCUUAUAUACCCUUGAAAAGUUUCCGACUUUCCGAUUUAUCCCUCUUAGAAGGCUAAUAUUGAAAACACCUUUUCUACGUUCCAACCUAUUUCUAACAUACCCGUAGAGUUAAAAUCUGUUAAUUAACUAUAUUAUCUCUAUAAAAUUACUAUUUUGCCCUUUCAAAUAUACCCUUCCACCAUUACUGACUUUCUUAUUUGCCCUUAAAGUCAAGGGCACAAAAAGUAUUUUGACUUUUAGUCUUUUCCAAUAUACCCCUCUACCGUUACCAAUAUUUAUUAUUUGCCCUUAAGUUAAGGGCAAAAUUGGUAUUUUAAUUUUUUUUAACUGUAAUAGAUAUUUAACUCACGUUUAACUCAAGUUAAUUUAACAGGAGAUAACUGCGGGGGUAUUUUGCCAUAACGAUGGAACAUAUGAGAGGUAUUUUAGAAAAAAAAAAAAAAGUAAGGAUAAAUCGGAUAUUUUCAAACAUAUAAGGGGUAUAUAGGUAAUUAUUCCUUUCAGUUUAACAGCUCUUUACCUUGUAGUUGUAGCUUGAUUUUGCUUACAGAUACAGCUAUCGCUUCGUAUACAGAAAAAAUUUCUAUAUAUACGGCGGGUCUGUUGGUGUGCCCGGAGAAACGUGUAAUCCGGGACGUGACAUUGAAAUGAUUUGAAAUUUAGUUUCUAGAUACUUCAAGUAGUAUAGAUCAUAUUUAACAGUACCGAUCGUCGAUUUGAAAACUCCAUCAUCGAAAACAAAUGGAUGGCAACAGAGUUCGUUUGCUACCGACCGCAUUCGAGCUCAACUCUCUCUCUCUCUCUCUCUCUCUCUCUCUCUCUCUCUCUAUAUAUAUAUAUAUAUAUAGAGUUGGACUGGGCACUAUUAUAGCAAAAUCCCAUUAUUGCUACCAGUUUUUUACCUUUGGAUCAACUCUUUUCCUCAUUUCUAACCAUUUAGAUUAAAUGCUAUAACCAAUGGAGACCACUCAACCCUAGGGGACCAACUCAACUCUAACUGACUAAUAAUCAUCCUAACCCUACAAUUUUUCAUCCAAGGGCUAAAAACUUGAUAGCAAAAGAGGAUUUUACUAUUAUAUAGUAUUCCAAUCUAAUUUAAUAAAUAUUAUACAUAUAUAUAGAAUUAGGUUAGAAUACUAUUAAUAGUAAAACGCUCUUUUUGCUAUCAAGUUUUUAACCCUUGGAUGAAAAAUUAUAGGGUUAGGAUGAUAUUAGUCGGUUAGAGUUGAGUGGUCCCCCAAGGGUUGAGUGGUCCCCACUGGGUUAUAGUAUUUAAUCCAAUGGUUAGAAAUAAUGAAAAUAAUUGAUCCAAAGGCUAAAAAAUUGGUAGCAACAAUAGAAUUUUGCUACUAAUAGUAGCCCAGUCCAACUCUAUAUAUAUAUAUAUAUAUAUAUAUAUAACAAAGCUUCAAUUACAUGUAUCCUAGAGCAACAAAUUCUCUAAACAUUUAUUGGUCCGCCAUGCAUAUAUCACAUUCGGAAUCGAAUUGAAUAGGAUAAAAUAAAAUAAGAUAAUAAUAACAAGAGUAGAACUACUGUCCUAGCUAUUAGAAGCACAACAAUCGUUAUAUUCCUAACUUAAUUUCUAACCAUUCAUCAAUUUUGAUGCGUGAUUAGAAUGAGAGAGAGAAGAGAAAUUGAAGAGUAAUUCAAAGAGAAGAGAAAGUGAGAAACCUAGUUUCUCUCCAAUUUUUUUCUCUCUCACAUCCUAACCAUCCAUCAAAAUAGAUGAAUGGUUAGAAAGUUAGAAGUAGAAAAACUAUUGUGCUUCUAAUAGCACAGUAGCCCUACUCAUAAUAACAAUAUUGAGAGAAAGAUAUAGCAAAUUUGAGGUAUUAGGAGCCUGUUUCGUUCAGAAAUAAUGAAGAUUGAAAUGGAAUAAUUUGCUAUUGUGAAAUAAUUAUGAAUAAAAGUAAAAUUAUAUUUAAUUUGUAAUAUUGCUAUCCUCAUAAAUAAUUUAAAUUGUGUUUGGUUAAUUUUUUGAAAUAGUGGAUAAUAGUGAAAAAAACUGAUUGUUAAAUUUCAUAUAAAAUAUGAUUUAACAAAACUAUUUUCUUAUAAAAUAUGAUUUAGAAAAAUAAUCUGUUAUAAAAAUAAUUUAUUUUUUCUAAAUUCUAUUGCAACUUAAAUUUAAUAAAAAUAAUUUAUUAUAAUUUUCAAGUAUAAUAUAUUACAAUAUUAUAAUAAUAAUAAUAUUAAGGGAAGGAUAUAGAAAAUGUAAGGCAUUAGGAGCCCAUCUGGCUCGGGAAUAACGAACAUAUUAGGAUUAAUUUUUUUAGUUUUUGAAAUAAUUUACUAUUCUAGAAUAGUCAUAAAUAAAUGUAAAAUUUUGUUUGAUUUAUAAUGUUGCUAUUUUCAAGAAUAACUUAAAUUGUAUUUAGUUAAUUUUAUUGAACAAUAGAUGAUAGUGCAAAAAAAUGAUGGUGGAAUUUGAUAUAAAAUAUGAUUUAAUAAAAAUAAUUUCUUACAAAAAUAAUUCAUUACAAUAUUUAAUAAAAAUAAUUUAUUAUAACAUAUUAUUUAGUAAAAAUAAUCUGUUAUAAAAAUAAUUAUUUUUUUCAAAUUCCACUUCAACUUAAAUUUAAUAAAAUAAUUUAUUAUAAUAUUUAAUAAUAAAUAAUAUAUAUUAACAUAGUACAAUUAAUAAUUUUAUAUUAUAUAUAAUUUAUAAUAUAUUAUGUUUAUAUAAUUUACUCUAAUUCAAUUUAUAAUAUUAAUAAAACAUAGAAUAAGACCUUAAAAUAGAUAUUCCGAGCUAUUUUAUUCCAAGCUAUUCCGAGAUAAUCGGAAAUAGCUAGAUUUGACAGGAAUAUUUUAUCCUAGCCAAAAAUUAUUUCUGUUUUUUUUUAGGGAAAACACGUCGUGAGGCGAUUUUAUUUAAUUAAUCAGUAGAUACAGACUGAGAAAAUUCAUCAAUAGAAGACCAAAAAAAAAGUUUUUUGCGUGCGAGUCCCCAAGUAGCCAAAAAUUAUUUCAUUUGAUGAAUAGCAUAGAUAACUUUUGUUAUUCUCGCAUUAUUUCCAAAUCAAUUAAACUUGGUCUAGAAGUUUUGAUAAAGAAAAAAAAUUAAUUAAACUCUCCUUAAUUCAAUCCUCAAUUACCACUCAAUCCAUAAAACUUAGAAGCAAACCCUAUUUCCUCUUAAUAUUUUUCUUUAUCUUCUUUUAUCUAACCCAAUAUUUUAUAUUAAAUUUGCAUACUAAGAAAUGGCGGUGAUAACAAUGUUCCAAGCAAGAUGUGAGUGCUCACGGUAUUGAUAGCGACACAUCGCAGUUGCACCUAAAAGAUUGUCACACUAGACCAAAUUGCUCCUCCAAUGUUUCGUGCAAUAAAGAACCAUACAUUAUUUCUAUUCGUAUUAAUUGUUAAUAUAUAUAUAUAAACUUCUUAUGAUAAAAAAAUAUAUAUAUGUUCGUAGUUAAUGGCUUAAAAAAGAUGAAUUUAUUUAUAAAUUAAUCAACAUUAAUAAUAGUAAGGAAUUACGCACCUUAAAUUGAAUGCACAGGUACAUUAUCAUGUUUUAUUAAAAUAUUGUUAUCAAUCAAUCAACUGGAUAAAGAAUUUUGUAGUGUCCAGCAGAGAGUCUUUUUUGCGAGUCCCACGCCACCUAAGAUUGCUCCAAAAGCAACCUAACUUAACUGUACACAUAGGUUUUAUGAUUAUUUUUCAGGAUGUUAUUUUUAUGAAUUGUUUAUAUUUAUAUAAAUAGAGUAUGUUUUCUGUAAUUUCGAAAGCACGAGGUUAUAUAAACAUAUAAUUCGACGAUCUUAUCCAUUGGACGUAAUCUAUGCUAUUAAAAUAUAUAUAGUAAAUUCAAACUUAAAUAUGAUUAAUUGGACUAUAUUUAUAAAAUUUCUAACAUCAAAAGCAUGCAAUAUAGGUUUUUCGACAUCAUUUAACUUACGAUUAAAAGAUAUCUGUGACACCCCAACUUCCCAGGGGUCACACAUCCGAGGACUACUCUCGUCCUAGCACGUUUAACUCUCUUAACCUCUUAAUUAGGUGUAGCCACUAUCCAAAAUGCUUAAGUCGGGUUAAGAGUGAUAGCCCUACUAUAUCUUAUAUAUAGGACUAUAUGGGAUCUCAAAUUCCUCCCCAUUUAAGGCAUGACGUUCUCAUCAGGCUCAGACUCAUAAGUAUCAGGCGAUGUGAGACUCGUUUUACUAGCUUUGUUAUUCCGACCUUGGCACAACCGAGACUCAUCUCACACUUCCGGCUGGUAAUUGGCUCUGAUACCAACUGUGACGCCCCGACUUCCCAGGCGGUCACCCAUCCUAGGACUACUCUCGUCCUAGCACGCUUAACUCUCUUAAUCUCUUGGGUCUAGCUACCACCCAAAAUGUUUAAGUCGGGUUAAGAGUGAUAGUCCUAUUAUAUCUUAUAUAUAGGACUAUUUAGGGUCUCACAAUAUCAAAAUUGAUAAAUUUAAACGACUGGUACGUAUGAGAUACUUGCUAAUUUAACGGUGUAAAAAAAUUGAAAUCGGUUGAAUUUAUGAUAGAAAAUUCUAUCCACUAUUUAGAUAAAGAUUAAUUACUCCGAUUUUAAAUUGAAACAUCCGAUUCUCUAUUUUAAGUGGUCAUUCGAUUUUGACCAUUCAUUUUAUGCCUACUUGAUGGAUUUUAUUAUUAUUUUAAAAAAUUACAAAAUUAGUUUUCUCGAAAUUAUAAAUGCUUUAGAUUAUGUUUAACAGUACGGAUUAUCGACCCGGAAGCUCUAUCAUCGAAAACGACUUAUGCAUGAGUAUGAAGGCCUCCGUACUUAUAAGAGUAUAGUAGCGCUACUCUAUAUAUGUAUAUGUAGGUUAAUCAAUAUUUCAUAUAGAUUUAUUAAUAUAUUAACAGCAGCACAUAAAUCCUAAGAGAUUAGAGAUGGUCUAGGAACCCUUUAAAGAUGAUUAAUUCUUAAGAGAAGAUUGACAGCUAGAAGCAAAUUGGAGACUCAGAUGGACGGCACAAAGUGUUUCCUACUAAAAUUAGGGUUUUAGGAUAAUGUAAACUCUUAUAAUUAAUCUUUUAGAGAUAAAAGUUUCAUUGUAGACCACCUAAUUGAAAAUAUAUAUAUAUAUAUAUGAAGAGUUGCUAAGAGAGAGUUUUAUGUUAACUCAAUUUUACUUUUUAUACAUUUUUGCAUCGCGGAUUAAAUGAAGAACGCAUUGAGGUGGUCUUAUCUAUGGACACGUAAACUCUGUCUUAUUAUUUUCUUUUGCUUGCUUUAUUGUUUUGUUAUCUUCAAACCUUUUUUUUUUUUUUUUAAAUCGUUCUCGUCUUUAUAUUUUUUAACAAAAAAUCUUAUUUUUACUGUACAUGUGUGCUGUGUGACUUUGAGAUGUAUUCGGUAACCCUUUCGAUCGGUCCCUUCAUCUUUGUAUUAGUACACACUAGGGCCAAAAUAAUCAACCAAAUGGUAUGUGAGCAUGGGUACAUAUACAUAUGUGCGUUGCACAGAGCACUAGUACACAAAAGUCUCUUUCACUUUUGAAGCACAGGCGUGGGUUCAUCAUUAUUGGGCGUGAGAAAUAUGAUGUGAUGAUGAUAGUUCAUCGAAUUGGAAGGAAUAUGUGCCCUUUACUAAAAAGCUGACAUGUGAACGGCUNAUAUAUAUAUAUACACACACACACACACACAAAUAUACACUAUAUUUGUAAAAUUUUUCUCUUAAAAUUUAAAUUAUGUAUUUUUUUAUACAACGAUAUUUUACGUGAUUUAUGUCACGCUCCGGAUUUCUCAUAUCCCCGGGCUCGCUAACAGACCCGCCGUAUACAUAGGUAUUUCCUCUGUAUACAAAACGAAAAAGUAGUACAUGUAAUCAUACAAUACUACAAACAGUAGUAUAGAGCAGCUAGGAAAAUAAACCAUAUAUAAAAACUGUGGUUCAAUACAUACAUGUGAUUCAGGUAUACAAAUACUCGCUCUGACGAGAUAACAACAACUGUAUGUAAAGACCCAAAAACUACAACUAUCUGUAGCUAGUGCUCCUCUAGCUCUGCGACUCGACUGGNUUUGAAGUACCUAAAAAAUAAAUUUUGCGAUUUUUCGAUAUCAUUUGCCUAGUGAUCGAAGGGGCUCAAAAUCAAUAAUUUUAACGGCCGUGGUGUGCCGGUUGCAAGUUUAACGAUAUAGAAAUAUCCAAAUCACAUAAAAGUUUGAUAGAAAAUUUUUUAUAUCAUAUAAAACAAGAUCAAUAACUUUGAUCUAAAAUUUUAAUGCCAUAUCAUCAUAUUUUGUAAGAUUUUUAUUUUCAGCCGUUGAUUUUGAGCCACUUCGAUCACUAGGCAAAUAAUAUCGAAAAAUCGCAAAAUUUAUUUUCUAGAUACUUCAAAUACUCUAGAUCAAGUCUAACAGAGCCGAUCGUCGAUUCAAAAGUCCGAACAUCGAAAACAAAGUGGAAGCACGGAGCCCUCCAUGCUUCCGUAAGCAUCCUAGCCGCACUCAUAUAUACCAGUGAAAUACCCGCGAUGCUGCGGAUAUAAAAAUAUUUUUACAAUAAAUUUUAUUUUUUUAAUAUUUUUAUAUAAUUUUAUAAAUUUAAUUAUUAAUUAAAUAAAAAUUAUAUAAAAAUAAUUUAAUAGUUAAAUCUACUUAAAUAAAAGUCAUUAAAAUUGGUAUAUGCGCAAGUAAAUUGUGAGAUCCCUGGUGUUCAGUUGUGGAGGCUUGUCGGCAGCUCUGGAGAGUGUCGGGACAAGUCCUAGUCGCGUUGGCGUCAAAUUGAUGCAAAACGGACUCUGUGCGACGCGAGGGCGGCUUUCAGCGAAGAAAUCUGCAAAAUAGCAGAUUUUCCUGCUUGUUGUACCGGUACAGCCAUCAUGGCGUACCGGUACACUAUACUGAUGCCGCGCAAUCUGCUCUCGGGUUGCUUCCUGUACCGGUACGCAAUCCCGUGUACCGGUACACCAGGGUAGGUGAGAGGGUGUUUUGGUCUUUUCUCUCCCUCGUUUGUAUCACCAGCCCUCUCUCUCUCUAUUUAGCCUUGUGAGGACAGAGAGAGGGAGUUCCUCUGUUGCUACUUCCUCUCUCUCACUCUCCAACAGAUCUUAGGCUAGGGAGGAUCUCGGUUGGAGCUUUCGUUGCCGACGUCGCGCCGCGGAGCCGUCCGGGGAUACGGUUGCUGCCGUUACAACGCGAGGAGGCCGGGCGAGCGGAGGUUUUCAUCGUUUUUGCUGUCGCAGCAGUGCCCGGUGUUGUCGAGGUGAGUGUCUGUUGGAGGAAAAAUUCUAAAAUGCAACGAGUAUAUUAGUGACGUGGCGUAACAAACCAAUCAAAUUAAUCCUUUUAAGAAUAUAUGUCCCAUCAUGAUUGUAAAAAAGUAUUUUUAUUGUACUUUUGUUUAAAAAAAGGAAUGUGAUUGGCUUGUUAUUGAUGAUGUGGUGCAAGUGUGACAGUGUAGAAUUCCUCCUGUUGGAGUGGCUUCGAUUAAUCCGGGUAUCACCGAAUUAGAGCUUAAGUGCUGUUUUCGCAGAAUUUCACCGUCGACUGUUUGUAUUUUUGGCUCGUUCUCGACGUAGGAGCAUCGGAUUGCGACGAGACUUGGUUCGUUGGAUUCAGGACUGCGAGAGGAAUCCACGAAGCCCUUACUUGCUGGAUUUGGUGAAGGUUAGCUUGGUCGAAUCCCUGUUGUACCUCACUGCUGAAAUUCGGGACUGAAACGGUGAUUUAUUGUCGUGUAGAGCUCGAGCGUGGACGAUUUCUGGACUCGGAGCUGUGCGUGUGAUCCAGCAAGUUGCUCGACACCAGUGGGAGUCCUUCGCUGCCANCAUACAAUACUACAAACAGUAGUAUAGAGCAGCUAGGAAAAUAAACCAUAUAUAAAAACUGUGGUUCAAUACAUACAUGUGAUUCAGGUAUACAAAUACUCGCUCUGACGAGAUAACAACAACUGUAUGUAAAGACCCAAAAACUACAACUAUCUGUAGCUAGUGCUCCUCUAGCUCUGCGACUCGACUGGAAGGGCUCUAACUUGCGACGCCCUUGCCACGAUCAAGAUCAGCAACAGCAGCAGCCGAAGGCGACGGCUCUACAAAACAGUGAUAACAACUGGGCGUGAGAACUACGAAAGAAGUAGUCCUCAAUGGGUACCGCCCUCAAACUCAUCGGUCCACUCACUAAGUCUACAGGGAUAAGCAGGAAUAGUAAAGAAAGGUGGAACAAAUCUACAGCUAAAUACCGCUAUACUAUCAUGCUCUAGCUCUAACUCUCUGUAGAACAAUGUUAACUCAUGACUCAAUCUCAAAUAAGAACUAUAAUCAUACCCGUCCCUGGGACUGUGAACACACCCGUCCCGCCUGGUUGCGACUAUACAGCUACCUCCACACUAACCAGUCUGUGGAGAGCAAGUCCAAUCUGUACGAACGACACCAACGCAAAAGUACAGCGCCCGUCUCCGGAGUGGCACUCGUGGGAGCUAUCCAACCGAGUAUGCAGCGUAUCUCUAUUGAGCUCAAUCAGGCUCUAACAAGCAAAAGUCAAGUAGCUAGGGUCAAAACAAGUCAAGAAACCAAACCCACGUGCCCUCAGCACAAUCUAAGACCAAAAACAGGAAUCUAGGUCCACCGUCCACCCUGACGGCACCCGACAAUCCGAAACAGCCUAGACUCUACUGUAAAAAUAAACUUGGCAUCCCAUCACGAGCGUAAAUGCAUUCUAAACUAUCUCGGGUAUCCACCGCGCUGAAACAGCGAUGAUACAAUUAAAUCACGGCUCUUAGAGCUAAAUCAGGUAGUAGAAUCAUAUGACAGGUCGAAUCGCUAGUUUUCUCCUAAGACAAGUUCCAAGUCCAACAUGUAUAUUUAUCUAAUUAAUAAUCAUGCUUCCAAUUCAGAUUUCAUACAUGCUACAAUCAAUGAAUCUGAGCGACCACAUGAAAUACAAGAAUCGAAAUCAUACAUGUCGACUACAUAAGCACUUAGGAGCGAAACCGAUGAAACGCCUACCUCUAUAGCAAAUCCCUGGCAGCAAGGAGGUCACGAACCACCAAGAAGCUGAGCCGCACCUGCUCUCAGCCAGCAAUGGUCCGCAUCUAAGAGCUAAACAUUAAUUCCACUAAAAUUUAUCAAAACCUUCAAUUUCAGCACUUAAGCUAACUUUAAUCCCAAUUGAAAUGUCAAAACUCACCUAAUCACAUCCAAAUCUGGUGAGAAAGGUCUAAAAUUCAGUGGAAUAUAUUGAGAUAUCAAGCUAAGGGCCAAAAUCCCACUGCCUCCAAAGAUAGCAUCAAAGAAAACUCAUAAACUUGAAAAUCUGCCGAAAGCAACAGCAGUAGAGAAGAACUUGAGUUCGACCAAGCUAGCCCUCACCAAAAUCUACAAUAUUAGACUUCGACCAAGCUAGCCCUCACCAAAAUCUGCAAUAUUAGACUUCGUGGAUUCCUCUUGAAGUCUAGAAUCAAACAAACUAAGUUUCACCGCAAUCCGACCUUCCUACGUCACACACGAGCUAAAACACCGAAGGUCGUCGCUGGAAAACUACAGAAUCAGCACUCCUCAAGCUGAAUUUGUGGACUUUUGAUACAAUUUGAGUGAUUUGGAGGGGUUGAAAUGCAUUUGUAAGCUUCCUUGUGAGAAAGAGAGGAAAAGAGCUUACCAGGGGCAUCUCCCACCUAUUUAUAGGAUGAUCAAACGGUCAAAUAAGCCUCAGGAAUAUUGGAUACAAACCUACACUGCUGCAGAAAAACCAAGUUGUAAGCGCCCUAAACCAAGUUCUGGGUGCCGAGAACUUCCAGCCUGCACAAACAGCCCUCUUCUGUUCCUCCGCCUGCGGUGUGUUGCACCCUUAUCCUGGUCCGGCGGACCUCACAUACCACAAACACGUGUCAACGCCAACGAUAUUUCCAAAGUAACUUCUAGACCCACUUCUGGGCGCCCGGAACAUAGGAUCCGAAUUGGCUUUCAGUUUUGCUCAAACCAGCACUCAAGAUCUGAGCGCCCUAAACCAAGUUCUGGGCACUCUAAACUGGAAAAACUCCAGUUUUGCUUAUUUGAGUGCGCCGAGUCCAUUUCUGCAUCCAUUUCGUGCCGAAACGAUUCCGACUCAGUCCGACACUCUCCAGACGUGUCGUCCAGUCACUAAUAUUAUAGCCAAUCCUAUCCAAACCUCUGGAACGCUACAAUUUAAAUUGCAUCUAUCAAGUUAGAUUUUAUUAUGCUAUUUAUUACGCGUAUUAUUAAUAAAAUUAAUUAAUUAAUUUUAAAGAGUUUAGAGAUUUAAAUUGAAGUUAAAAAAUUGGAAAUAAAUAUUAUAAACUUUAAAUUUUAAAAUUUAAAAUUUUAAAAUUUGAAAUUUAAAAGUUUGAAAUUUAAAAUUUAAAAUUUAAAAUUUUGAAAGUAUCAAUAAUUUAAAUUUGGUAUCAAAAUUUAAAUUUAUAUAAAAAUAUAAUUAUAUUUAUAUAUAGAAGUGUGUCUGGAUAUGCUUCUGGAAGCACGAGCGCUACCGUGCUUUCCAAGUUGUUCUUCCGAUGUUCGGACUUUCGAAUCGACGAUCGGCUCCGUAGAGCUUGAUCUAGAGAAAUUUGAAGUAUCUAAAAAAUAAGAUUUUGCGAUUUUCGAUAUCAUUUGCCUAGUAAUUCGAAGUGGCUCAAAAACAACGGCUGAGGAAAUAAAAAUCAUACAAAAUAUGAUGAUACGAUAUUAAAAUUUUAGAUCAAAGUAUAUUGAUCUUGUUUUAUAUGGUAUAAAGAAUUCUAUCAAAAUUUCAAAUGUGAUUUGGAUAUGUUUACAACGCGUUAAAACUUGCACCGGCUCACACACGGCAUUAAAUUAUUGAUUUUUGAGCCCCUUCGAUUACUAGCAAAAUGAUAUUGAAAAAUCACACAAUAUUUUAUUUUCUACGGUACUUUCAAUGACUCUAGGACAACUCUAACGGGCACCGUCGUCGAUUCGAAAGUCCGAACAUCGAAACACAACUUGGAAGGAAGAGAGGGCUCCGGCCUUCCAUAACAUCAACCAGCCCACUCUAUAUACUAGCUAUAUAGUAUAAUAUAAUAUAUCAGAUAUAUAUAUUAUAUAUAUAUAUAUAUUAUACUAUAGAAUUAGCAUACUAUACUUAUCACUAGUACCAACCUGUACUAUGUGGACCGUUUGGCGUUGGAUGAAAGAUAGGUGGCGGUUAAAGAAGAUCAGUGGUCCUAGGGUUGAGUGGGUGGAUUGGUUUAAAAUAAUUAUCUAACAGCGUGAAAAUGAAUCAACCAGGGUAAGAUCAUAUACGGUAGAAAAACUUAAUAGUAUCGAAGGGCUUGGUACAUCAUAGAGUAGUACCCGACUCUUAUAGGUAUAUAUAUAUAAUAUUAUAUAGUAUACGAGAGAAGAGCAGAGAGAGAGAGUUGAACUAAAUACUAAUCGCUAGUCUAACCACGAGCCGUUUACUACGAUUGUGUUUUCGAAUGAUAAAACUUCCAAAUUGACGAUCGCUCCGUUAAAUAUAAUCUAAACAUUUAAACACAUAGAAAAUCAAAUUUCACGGCACGUUGAAAUAUGUUCUUUUAAUCCAUCAAGUCAAAGAAAAGAAUGGGCUGAAAAUGAAUACUCUUCUAAAGAAAUGAUGAUAGGAGUCUUGUAAUCAGAGAUCAAGAGGAUGAGAUUUCUAUUUAAAUAGUUUUAAAAAAAUUUUCUACAAAAUUCAAUUGAUUUGGAGAUCGUUACGGCCGUUAAAUCAAGAAAACGCCUCUUAUACGACCAUUAAAUUAAAAUUUUCUGAAACGGCCUUGUAUCAUUAGCAAAUGAAUGUCGAAAAGAUUUGGAAUAUUUGAUUUCUAACACUUCAGUGUAUAAAUCAUGUGUCAACGGAGCCGAUCGUCCAAUUUGAAGUUCUAUCAUCGAAAACAAAUCGUAGUUAAAAACAGGCUCGUUUACCUACCUGAUACGUAUCUACAAAACUCUCUAAUACUAAUAUAUAUACUCAGCUAUAAUACAUAUACCUAGAGAGAGAGAGAGAGAGAGAGAGAGAGAGAGAGAGAGAGAGAGUAGGGCUGUUGUGCUUUCAGGAGUAUGGAGGCCUCUAUGCUCCUGAGCCGUUUUCGAUGAUGGAAUUUUCGAAUUGACGAUCGGCUCCAUUAGACUUGAUCUAGGGUAUUUGAAGUUUCUAAAAAAUAAUUUUUGUUAUUUUUUUAUAUCAUUUACCUAGUUAUCGAAAGGAUUCAAAAUCAAUAAUUUUUAAUGGUUGAUAUAUGCCGUUUUCAAGUUUAACGGUGUAGAAGUAUUCAAAUCAGAUGAAAUUUUGAUACAAAAUUCUUUAUACUAUCUACAACAAGAUCAAUAUUUCUGAUCGAAAAUUAUAGUGCUAUAUCACCACUUUUUAUAGGAUUUUUAUUUUCAGCCGUUAAAAAUUAUUGACUUUGAAUCCUUUCGAUUGCUAGGUAAUGAUAUCAAAAAAUGGCAAAAAUUAUUUUCUAGAAACUUCAAAUACGCUAGAUCAAGUCUAACGGAGCCGAUCGUUGAUUCGGAAAUUCCAUCAUCGAAAAUGGCUCAGGAGCACGGAGGCCUCCUUGCUCCUGAGAGCACAGCAGCACUUAUAAAAGCACCAAGCACUUAUUGCUUGUAAAUUUUUUACCUUUAGAUCUACACCUUUGAUCAUUUUUACCCGUUAGUUUGUACUAUUGAACCAACCACCUACUCAACCCUAGGGGGCCCACAUAUAGAGUCCAGCUAUGGUGCUAGUAAAAGCACCAAGCACUUAUUGCUUGUAAAUUUUUUACCUUUAGAUCUACACCUUUGAUCAUUUUUACCCGUUAGUUUAUACUAUUGAACCAACCACCCCCUCAACCCUAGGGGGCCCACAUCAUCCUAACCACACAUCUCUUAAUCUAAGGGCCGAAAACUUACAUGUACCAAUGACUUGGUACUUUUAAAAGCAUAGGAGCUCAAUUCUAUAUAUAUAGAAUUAGGCUACUAUACUAUCUCUAGUACCGGAGCUCCGGUACUAUAGUCUUAUUUUCGAUCUUAGGGUGUUCAAAUUAACGAUCCACACCGUUAAUACCCUAGAUCAGUUUUAACGGUGUGGAUCGUUGAUUUGAACACCCUAAGUUUGAAAACGAAACUAUAGUACCGGAGCCCCGGUACUAUAGAUAAUAUAGGAGACUAGUUCUCUCUCUCUCUAUAUAUAUAUAUAUAUAUAGGCUAAGACUAUUAUAUUCUUAAGAGUAUAAAUUUUUUUACACUCAUAAAUUUUUGAUCGUUGGAUGACGAGAUAAGGUGGUUAGGAUGAUAAUGGUCUUCUAGGAUUGAGUGGAUGGUUGGUUGACUUGUAUGAUCUGAUUGAGUGGGUGGUUUUCUUGACUAGUAUGAUCUAAUUGAUGGAAAUAGUCNAUAUAUAUAUAUAUAUAUAUAUAUAUAUAUAUAGAGAGAGAGAGAGAGAGAGAGAGAGAGUUGAGUUGCAAUGCUAUCAGUAGCAAAAGAGCUUCGUUGUCACUAAUUUAUUUUCGAUGAUGGAGCCUCUAAAUCGACGAUUGGCAUCGUUGAACAUAAUCUAUACCGCGUUAAGUAUCUAGAAAUCAAUUUUCAAAUAUUUUCGACAUCAUUGGCCUAAUGAUCAAAUGUUUUCAAAAUUUGUAAUUUUUACGGUCGAUAUAAAAUAUUUUCUCGUUUAACGAUGUAAAGAUAUACCGAACGUCCCUAGAGCAAGUGGCAAAAGGCUUUGUGGUUAUUACCCGAGACCCAGGUUAGAAUCCUAGUUGAUUCAUAUUUCCAGCUAAGUUUAUUUCUAAAUGAAAUAAAUAAAGCGGGUAGCGUGCCACCUAUCUCUCAAAAAAAAAAUUUGAUGUAAAGAUAUUCAAAUUAAUUGAAUUUUGACUAGAAAAUUUUUUAAACUAUUUAGAAAACGAUCUAGUUGAAUUUUUAUACUUAAUUAAGCUUGACUUUUUAUUAAAUUGAAUGGCUUUAUUAAUUGUAAAUUGUUAAUUGUUUUAGUUUUUACUUGGUAAAUUUUGUUACAAUUAUCAAUAAAUCUAAUAAAAAUUUAAAAAACUUUAAAAGUACUUGAGAAAGCUUGGAAAAAAGAAAAAGAAAAAUAGUUGGGGACAUGAAUUUUUACCUCCUCAUCAAUAUGUGACCUACCCUAUGCUACCCUAACCCAUAGCUCAUAAAAAUGAUGUGACGUUUUGACCAGUACCACAUGUGCACUCAUGGAGAUCUGAAAAUUAAACCACCUAGGGAUCUGGUAUUUGUAAUAAAACAAAAAUUUACAAAGAACCAUACAUCUAUGCACCACUUAUACAAUUUUAAAGAAAUUAUUUUAUAGAUCUUUGUGCUUGGCAUUAUUUUUGAAUUAUUUUUUACUCGAUAAAUCUAGGUACUGAGUUCAAUUUUUGCUUUACGAUUUAAAGUUAUAAACUCCGACCUCUUCACCACUCAUGUUCUUUUUUAUUCAUAAUAACUAUUAUCGAAGAAAAAUUCAAAAUCUAAAUGAUAAUAAAAGAUAUAUAAAUGUUACAACGAGCACACAAACAAAAAUGAAAACAGCUAUUGUAAAAUAAACAAACCAUAAAGUAGUAAGGAAAGAUAGAACAUAAAAAUUUACGCGAAAAAAAAAUUUCAAAGAAAAAUCACGAGCGAAAGAGAGAACUUCACUAUAUGAAAAAAAAAAAGAAGGUAUAAUCUUGUGGAGAAAUAUAAUAUGCGAUAUAUUGUCUAGGGCAAAGAAAAAGAAAACUGAAAUGUAAUGGAAAGACCUCCACAUCUGACCCGUUUGUUUCUUAAUGGGUUCUUUCAAAAUUUGAUCAGAUUUUUCUUUUUCACCACAUAUAAUUUUUUUUUUUUAAUUUAUCACACCGCAAAGCUUUCGGCAAAUAGGGGCACAAAAUCAAACUCGAUAACUAAACUUUGAUACAAAUCUAAUAAUAAUUUAGCAUGUUACCCUUUUAUUUACCCUAGAAAGGCCUAGAUUCCAUUAUACAAAAAGAAUCACAAUUUGUCUCCCAGGAAAGCGUGCUCACAAAAACCUAGCAAUGCAUGGCUGGCAAACACUUAGUUUGUCUUACUAAUCACUUAUUUAAUCAUGCAUUAAAUCUAAAGUUAAUCUUAUUCCUUUCCUUAAACCGAGGAGUCAAUUUGUCCUUGUGUAUAAAUUUAUAUGUUUCAAUUGCUUCCAUUUGGAUUAAACAAAGAUAUAUAUAACAUCUAAAACCAAGGGCUAGGAAGGUACUUCUUAAUUACUUUCCCCUUGUUUGAGGAAAUUAACCACCAUGAGAGGGACCUUUUUUGGCACAUUGUAGUUACUUUUUUUUCAAAUGUGAUUAAGUGAUCAAUUGCCCCAGGGAUUCUUAAAUUUUUUGCGCGGUUUCAAUUUAGUCCUCAACCUUAUACAUUGCAAUCUUGUUCUUUUUAUUAGAUUUGUCCAAUAAAUUUGGCAGAAAUAAACGCGUAUGUGCUAAGUUACGUUUACAUAAGAGACGGUUGAACUUCUCAUUAGCNAGAGAGAGAGAGAGAGAGAGAGAGAGAGAGAGAGAGAGUUGAGUUGCAAUGCUAUCAGUAGCAAAAGAGCUUCGUUGUCACUAAUUUGUUUUCGAUGAUGGAGUCUCUAAAUCGACGAUUGGCACCGUUGAACAUAAUCUAUACCACGUUAAGUAUCUAGAAAUCAAAUUUCAAAUAUUUUCGACAUCAUUGGCCUAAUGAUCAAAUGUUUUCAAAAUUUGUAAUUUUUACGGUCGAUAUAAAAUAUUUUCUCGUUUAACGAUGUAAAGAUAUACUGAACGUCCCUAGAGCAAGUGGCAAAAGGCUUGGUGGUUAGUACCCGAGACCCAGGUUAGAAUCCUAGUUGAUUCACAUUUCCAGCUAAGUUUAUUUUUAAAUGAAAUAAAUAAAGCGGGUACAGUGCCACCUAUCUCUCAAAAAAAAAAUGAUGUAAAGAUAUUCAAAUCAAUUGAAUUUUGACUAGAAAAUUUUUUAAACUAUUCAGAAAAAGAUCUAGUUGAAUUUUUAUACUUAAUUAAGCUUGACUUUUUAUUAAAUUGAAUGGCUUUAUUAAUUGUAAAUUGUUAAUUGUUUUAGUUUUUACUUGGUAAAUUUUGUUACAAUUAUCAAUAAAUCUAAUAAAAAUUUAAAAAACUUUAAAAGUACUUGAGAAAGCUUGGAAAAAAGAAAAAGAAAAAUUGUUGGGGACAUGAAUUUUUACCUCCUCAUCAAUAUGUGACUACCCUAUGCUACCCUAACCCAUAGCUCAUGAGGAUGAUGUGACGUUUUGACCAGUACCACAUGUGCACUCAUGGAGAUCUGAAAAUUAAACCACCUAGGGAUCUGGUAUUUGUAAUAAAACAAAAAUUUACAAAGAACUAUACAUCUAUGCACCACUUAUACAAUUUUAAAGAAAUUAUUUUAUAGAUCUUUGUGCUUGGCAUUAUUUUUGAAUUAUUUUUUACUCGAUAAAUCUAGGUACUGAGUUCAAUUUUUGCUUUACGAUUUAAUGUUAUAAACUCCUACCUCUUCACCACUCAUGGUCUUUUUCAUUCAUAAUAAGUAUUAUUGAAAAAAAUUCAAAAUCUAAAUGCUAAUAAAAGAUAUACAGCUGAGAUAAAUGUUACGACGAGCGCACAAACAAAAAUGAAAACAACGAUUAUAAAAUAAACAAACCACAAAGUAGUAAGGAAAGAUAGAACAUAAAGAUUUACGUGAAAAAUUUUUUGCGAAGAAAAACCUCGAGCGAAGAGAGAAUUUCACUAUAUGAAAAGAAAGGUAUAAUCUUGUGGAGAAAUACAAUAUGUGAUAUAUUGUCUAGGGCAAAGAAAAAGAAAAUUGAAAUAUAAUGGAAAGACUUCCACAUCUGACCCAUUUGUUUCUUAAUGGAUUUUUUCAAAAUCUGAUCAGAUUUUGAAUUUCCACCAUAUAUAAUCUUUUUUAAAAAAUUUGUGACACCGCAAAACUUUCGACAAAUAGAGACACAAAAUCGAACUAAAAAACUAAACUUUGAGACAAAUCUAAUAAUAAUUUAGCAUGUUACCCUUUUAUUUACCCUAGAAAGGCCUAGAUUCCAUUAUACAAAAAGAAUCACAAUUUGUCUCCCAGGAAAGCGUGCUCACAAAAACCUAGCAAUGCAUGGCUGGCAAACACUUAGUUUGUCUUACUAAUCACUUAUUUAAUCAUGCAUUAAAUCUAAAGUUAAUGUUAUUCCUUUCCUUAAACCGAGGAGUCAAUUUGUCCUUGUGUAUAAAUUUAUAUGUUUCAAUUGCUUCCAUUUGGAUUAAACAAAGAUAUAUAUAACAUCUAAAACCAAGGGCUAGGAAGGUACUUCUUAAUUACUUUCCCCUUGUUUGAGGAAAUUAACCACCAUGAGAGGGACCUUUUUUGGCACAUUGUAGUUACUUUUUUUUCAAAUGUGAUUAAGUGAUCAAUUGCCCCCGGGAUUCUUAAAUUUUUUGCACGGUUUCAAUUUAGUCCUCAACCUUAUACAUUGCAAUCUUGUUCUUUUUAUUAGAUUUGUCCAAUAAAUUUGGCAGAAAUAAACGCGUAUGUGCUAAGUUACUUUUACAUAAGAGACGGUUGAACUUCUCAUUAGCGUGAUUUGUGAAUGGUUUUGUUUAGAUGCAUGUGCGGAAUUGUCACUUGAUAGUUAUGUCAUAUGUGGCACAAAUAGUGAUAUUUCCUUGCAACUUAAUAGCAACUUUAAGAUUAUUGAACAAUAUUUUAAUUAGAGACUCAAAUGAGAGAACACCUUUGCAAAUUACUUAAUCCAUUUAUCAUGUAUUUGUGAUAAUUAAGAGAAAUGUAAUUUUAGUGAGAGUAAAAACUAUAUGUGCACACUUGUGUGGAGGUGAUAUUUCAAUUGCAAAGGAGACAAACCUUUAACUCUUCAAGUAGUUUAUUGACUUUUCUUCUUGCCCUUUGACCAUGAUGAAUAGUUCCUUUAUUUGUUUCUUGUUUAAACACUAUUUUGAGAACCUUUUGUUCCAACACUUUCACGCACAUCCACGAAAACAGUAUCAUGUGUCUCCGUAUACUUUAAAAUGCAUGAGAAAUACAAAUAUAUAUGUUAUACUCAAAGAGAGAGAGAAAUAUGAGGUGCUAAUUCCUCACUACUUUAAGAGCAGCCAUUUUGAAAAGUUUCAAUUCGUAAUCAUCUUGAUAACCAAGAGCUAGCAUGUUGUUAGGCAUGUGGAAAAGAUCUAGUUCGUGGACGUGAAAAUAUCAAAAAGAAUUGAGAAAGAUAAAAGAAAAAUAAAACACACAAAUAUUUACUUGGUUCGAUUACUAGUCAACAUUCGCAGGAGAAGACAGAGUGAAGAUUUUUAUUUUAAUCAAACUGAAGUACACAUUAUAUAUCUCUCACAAAAUUCUAAUCCUAAAAAUACAACCAUACUUUUCAUCUACCAAACUGAAUCAAUUCAUAAUCAUAUUGACAUGUACAUUGUAUGAUUAGUAAUCAUCUCGAAAUAUCAUCUUGUUAAUUAACCAAGAGCAUGCAUGUACAUGUAACUUGUGUACUACAAUUUGCGCUCGACAUUUGUAUGAUUAGUAGCCAAAACAAGAACGUGAAUAUAUGGAUUUUUUUAUGGCGUUCGCCGCAUCACACACAAAAUCAAAUGGCUAUUCAUAUCAAAGAAAGAAGACCACAUGCAUCAAUAUCCCUGAACAACAAGAAUUUGCUAGUAAAUUUUCUAUUUCUUGUUGUAAUUUGUACAUGUUUUAAAUUCAUUAUUUCUUGUCUCAUGCUCCUCGCAGCGUGCGCACAUAUAUAUAUUGCCCUAAAGUACUCUUGUUUAAUUAUACAUAUAUAUAUAUAUUAAUUCCUAAUACAACUUCUCAACAGAGACCAUGCACGAAGUAUCUGAUCCAGUUGACAAUUAACUAUUUUGCUCACAACACUUGUCCAGCAAUUUUAACUUGUAUAUGUUAAUUAGCUAAAUUCAAAACAAAUGUUACACAGAUUCCUUAUGCACAUUAAUUUUUCCUCCAAGCAUUGCUCAUAGUUACUCUUGUUUAUUUGUUUGUUAACUUUAAAAUGAAUUUUCACAUAUUCCUUAUAUUAUAUGGUGUAUUAAACUCUUGGUCCAAAAACUAAAGUUAUUGUCCACCAAUUAAUUUCAGCUUGUAUAUAUAUUUAUUAAACUCCAACAUAGUUUGCCUCCAACAUAUUAUAUAAGUUCUGUUCACAACUUUUCCUAUGGAUUGAUUAAUUUGAGGACUAAAACGUUUAACAAGAUCAAAGUUAAUUAAAUUUAAUUUAAGUGGUCCAAGUGAUUUGAUUCUUUCUGCUUUAAUUUUUUUUAAUCUCUUUAGAAGAAUUGUCGGGUUUUUCAUAUGCAUCAAUUACUACCUUAGGGGUGUUUGUUAGACAACUUGUCCUCUAGUAAUCACUAUUUGAGACAAAUUGUCUCUACCUUCAGAAAAUAAAACGUAAAAAAAAAAAAGAAAUUACCCGCAAAUUAAUAUAGGUUGCUCAAACAAGUUGUCCCUUGGUUUUUUAUUGAUAGCAGUUUGUGUGAAUUACUUAAGUAAGAAUUAGGUAUUAAAUUAAUUAUAUACAUUAUUGAACUUUUGCACUAUAAAUUGUUGUUCUUGCCUCUGAAUUUUAUGAGUUUNUAUAUAUAUAUAUGAGUUUGGUUACUAUACUAUCGAUAAUAUCAAGCCUUGGUACUAUUGAGUUUUCUACCGUUAGAUCUACACUUUGAUUAUUUUCACCCGUUAGAUUAUACUAUUAAACCAACCACCCACUCAACCCUAGGGGACCACUAUUAUCCUAACCACACAUCCUUUCAUCCAACAGCCGAAAACUCAAUAGUACCAAAAGCUUGAUACUAUCAAUAGUAUAGUAGCAUAAUUCUAUAUAUAUAUAUCUAUAUAAUACGAACGUUGCAAAUACAACUUAUGUACUGAUUAACCACUGCAUCUUCUAUAUAAAUAUCUUCCGUGCUUAUUUUAUAUAUAUAUAUAUAUAUAUAUAUAUAGAAUUAGGCUGGAAUUCUAUUAAUAGUAAAACGCUCUUUUUGCUAUCAAGUUUUUAACCCUUGGAUGAAAAAUUGUAGGAUCGGGAUGAUAUUAGUCGUUUAGAGUUGAGUGGUCCCCUUAGGGUUGAGUGGUCCCUACUGGGUUAUAGUAUUUAAUCUAAUGGUUAGAAAUAAUGAAAAGAGUUGAUCCAAAGGCUAAAAAACUGGUAACAACGAUGGGAUUUUGCUACUAAUAUUAAGUUGUUUCUGUAUAACUAUAUAUAAUAAUACAUGCUAUAUUUAUUUACUUACCGAGAUAUAUAUAUAUAUAUUGUGUCUUCUUGUAAAGACGCCAUAUCAGACACCAGAUAUACAACCGCAACACAAUCUAAUGUGACAACAUGCCAUGGGGACUCACUACAACAGAAUUAGGUUAUAGGGACACAUGUUUGGGACAUUUUUGAGUAAGUGUCCCAUUUAUGCUAAAACUUAAAAAAAUAUCUGCUAAUGCCUAAAUAUAAAGCCCAAUCCAACCAAAAAUAAAAGAUUACUCUACUCAACCCACCACACCCAGUUCAUUUGGCCCGAUUACAAACAGAAAAGAAAAAAAAAAAGAAAAAUCAAUUACCAUCUUUUCUUCUCUCUUCACUCAAUCCACUGAAAUUCUAGACGAAGAGCCUUUCCUGUCGUCCUCCUCCGCCACCGCAGCCAACGAGAUAAAAUUUCGGCGGUUGCUAAAUGCUUAAAUAAGUGUUCGUAAAUUAGCAGCACUCUUUUAGGUUAUAGCGACACUCUUUAACUGUCAAUAUAUACCUAGCGACCCCACAUAUAGUAACACUUUUUAAAAGUGUCGGUAAUUUUAGCUAGCAGCACUUUUUUGACAUGUACCUAUAUUUAAAAGUAUCGCUAUAGACCGUUUUUGUUGUAGUGACUUUUGAGAGAAGUCCCAACUCAACACGGCAUUAGCUAGUCUUACCUAUAAAUGCAAAAAACUAACAUGAUAGAUAUAUGGCGCAGUAAAGAAAAAGGUUAAAAUAUUUUGAACAUAAGUAUACCAAGUUGGAGACACUUAGACACAAACCUGUUAAUUAAUUGAGAAAAAUAACAUGACUGUCGAAGAUGAAUGCUGCAAAUAUGUUUGUUUUUGCACCAAGUAAUCACUCAAUUGAUCUGCCAAUGAUUAGAAAUUAUGAACUCACAAAUGACUUCUUAUAAGAGCUCCUUUAUUCAUGUGAAAACUUUUGAAUACUACAAGGUAUAUAAUCAAACACUAAUCUUACAAUUAAUGACAAGAAAUGUUCAACAAACAAUUAAUUAAAUUCAAUGAAUAUAUCAUUGCUUUUACAAGUUAUAAAUCAUUUCCUGUUAUUACUAUCUUAAGUUGUCAUAUCUAAUUAAUGGAUCUACUGCUUCUGAGUUUGAUGAAGUUGUAAUUUAUGUCUGAUGGUUAAAACCGCAUCUGCACGUGAGUUAAACAGCGGGAAUUAAAAAAAAAAUUUAGCGGUUUGCUUUUAGCAUCUUUAGCUAUUGUUAUUAUUGUUUGUAUUCGAGUAAAAGCAACAAUUUGCGCGCUUUAUCUUCAUGAUCUAUGUUCAAGUGCACUAAACAAGUACAAAAUAUUCUAUCAGCGACAAGCUAUUAUUUAGUUACUCCAAAAAAAAAAGCUCAAAACCACUAAUAUAAUACUAAUUAAGCCUGGUAACACCAACCGUCCCUAGUGCAAGUGGCAAAAAGCUUGGUUGUUGGUACCCGAGGUCCCAAGUUCGAAUUCUAGUUGAUUCACAUUUCUAGUUAAGCUUAUUUCUAAUGAAAUAAACGAAGCGGAUAACAUGUUACCUAUCUCUUAAAAAAAAAAAAAAUUAAGCCUGCUAACACUUAGCUUGAGAAUCAAUUUCUCAGACCAAAUGUUAAUCAAAUCUCCACUUGCUUUUAGCGCUUCGAGCUACAAAAAGGCAAAAAGUUCAAAAGAGAAUAUUCAUGUUUUAAUCAAUUGACUAAUUAUAACAAAACAGAUCCUUUACUAUUGAUGAUAUGUGCUAUAUAUAGCCAUAUCUUGCAUGAUGCAUCAAUCAUUCAAAACAUAUAGUUUAUGUUAAACAACUGUUGUAUUCUAACAACUUAAGCUUUUAGAGUAUGUCAGUUAUUUAACAAAAUAUCAGAACAAGAGAUCCUAAGUCCGAAUCACGCCAGACUCCUAAAUUACUAAUUUUUCCCAUUUAAUUCAAAUCCACGUCAUGAACCUUGUAAAAAGUCUCGAGCCCAUACAUGAGGAGGAGAGUGUUAAAUAUAAAAAUAUAUAAAUACUGUUCUCUAACGGCUUUAGCUUUUAGAGUACGGUGGUUGCUUGACAGUUUAUGAGCUUUAUCUGAAAAGAAGUUGUAGAUUGCUUUAUAAUGAUAGUCUAUGCAAGAAGUAUUGAUUGCCUUCAUUCUAAUUGAGGAUUAGCUAGGGCAAAGUGAUGAAACAUGAAACAGGUCAUUAGGUUGCGUUAUUUGGAAAAGAUCAUAUACUAGAAAAACGUCGCCUUUCGAUACAUUCUUGUUACCAUUUAGAAAGUAGGAAACUUAAUUACAGUACAGCAACAAUUCGCUUCCUCUUUAUACUUUUGUAUCUUGUGGAGUUGCAUUACCAUUUAGAGACUGUUUGAAUUUAAAGUUUGUUUGGUUAGUGAUCAUGUAAUUUGAUUUAUUCAAAUUUUUCAGAAACAAAGUAUGCAGAUGCAUACGUUGCUAAAUUUGUUUGAUUUGAUCAAAAGCAGUCGAUUGAUCUUACUUAUUCAUUUCAUUUAUGCACAAUAGAUCCAAAGAGAAAAUUUGAAAUUAUAACAGAAACUGAAAAAUGCAAGUAAAGAAGAAUGUUUCAUCUAAAAUUUUGUAGUACUAAUCCCUCUCGGAGUUUCUUUCUCACCAUACGAAUGGUACUGAUAUCGCAUCCUUAGAGUAAGAAAAGGAGAAAAACUAUGACUAGUAUGUGUACAAAUAGAGUGGUUCAACUACAAACACCACCAUGUUGGCAGGGAAAAAAAAAAAAGAAAAGAACAAGAACAAGAACAAGAAAAAGAAAAUGGUGCUUGAUUAUGGUCAAUCGUGCCAACAAAGAAGCAUCACGACGCAGCGUCGUAUAAUGUAUAGUUUGGCUCUUUGCUCCCUUAGAGCUCUGCUGAGCCCUCCUUUUUGCUUCUCCUGGCUAUGUAGCUUCAUUGUCAUGGCGUAAUUAGCUUGAAUAGUUGUAAAGUGGAGAGGAGAAAAUAGUGUGUUGAGAAACAAUAAGUGAGAGAGAGAGAAGUAGAGGGUACUCUUUGCUAGCAAUUGUAGUUGGAUUGAAUAGUUUGAGGGGAUUCACAUAUGGAUUUUAUAGAGAGAUCAGAGAAAAUGGGGGGAAAUUAAGGGAGUGGUCCAACACCUAGAGGGCUUGUUAAUUAAGAGGUGCUUUCACACAAGUGUAGUAUCUUGAUUGUUACUUAGGAGACAAGGCUCUGAAUUCAUGUAUAUUGUUUUAUCUUUCUUGCUUCUUUUGCCUAUAAUUGUUUUGUUUUCUUUAAGCUAUAGAAAUUGUGGCCUUAAGCAAGCAUCAAAUUCAGGUAUAUUUGUCUCUCCUGCCUCUUUCACUGUACUGAGAAGUACUUCCUCGCCGAUCGAUUGCUUGAAGAAAACAAUGUUGAUAAAAUAUUACUUGUCGGAUCGUUAGCGCUAAUCAUUAAUCCCAAAAGCUCGAGCUGUAGAAAUACGUAACCAAUUCACUUAAAACGUACAGAUACAGCGCCCACAGGUCUCGAUUAUGACUGGGUCCAACCAGCCUCAUGCCACUUCGAACAUGACUCAACUCACCCUCACGCUAUUUCGAACAUAACUCAGCCCAACAUAGCCUUUCGCCAUAAAGCAAAAUGCUAACUCAUUUAAGCCAGCAAUCCCCUCUCUAGCAUCUGCACACAUUUGCAGUAUUGGGGAAUCGAACUCGCGAUUUCUGGCUCUGAUACCACUUGUCGAAUCGUUAGCGCUAACCAUUAAUUCCAAAAGCACGUGCCGUUAGAAAUAUAAAACCAAUUCACUUAAAACAUACAGAUACAGCGCUCACGAGUCUCGAUUGUGACUCGACCUAACAGGCCUCACGUCACUUCGAACAUGACUCGGCCCAACAUGACCUUCCGCCACAGGACAAGAUGCUGACUUAUUUAAGCCAACAUUAGGUACGUACGCACGCAUUUUCUUUUUUCUCUCAGUUGGCACAUGCAACCUAUCCUAUCAUGGCGCUCGCAACGAGAGCUUUACUAGAGCAAGUGACAGGUUUUGUUUGCCUAUCGAGGCAGUCGCACUCAUCGUCACAUAAAAAAGAAAAUCGACUGGCCUCUUGUGUGAAUGAAAAGCUAAAUUCGACUAUAUUAUGUCGAGAUCCGAGCGUGCACUAGAAUAUUUUUGCGAGCUAACUGUUCUUGAUCACUGAUCAGUCUCUUGUAUCUGUCCUUCGACUGCACGGAAAAUGCUUUUUUUUGUUCCCCUCCUAAUAUUCAAUAACAAGUUGCAUGGAGCAUGUCUCCUGAUCAGAGUAUAUAUACUUGUUUAUUAAUUCCUAGAAUGGCUUUUCAUAUAUAUACUGUUGUAGUACAUGGCUUGACAAUUCUUUACUCACAAAUCCAUGCCAUUUGUAGCAUUAAUUUUUUAAUUAAAUCCCUACUUUCUUUGCCUCCUUUCACAUUCAAUUCUCUUCACCACCUUCCUGUGGACACAAAGUUUCUAUGCCUAGGAUGCUUAAAACAAUCAUGAUUUUCAUUUGUACCUAAUUUUGUUAGUUUCUUUACUUGCCCUCUCCUUCAUGGUCUCUGUUUGUUCAGUUCUUGUCAUGUUGAAAUAACAAUGACAUGCAAAUACCAAAAUAAAGGAAUAUUUUAUGUAAUUUUAAGCAAAUGCUGUCGCUGUUCGACACAAAUUUUUGCUGCAUUUGAAACAGUUGGCAAGCUAUAUAGUGUUCAAUGCUGCAGCAUUUUUUUUUCUCAUUUCUUGCUUAAAAAUAUCCUAAUAAAAGAACAUUAGAUAGAUAUAAAAUAUUGAAGUACAUCUCCUAAGUUUUUGAAAUUACGGAAGCCUCCGUACUUAUAAGUUAUUUUUUAUGAUGGGAUAUCUAAUUCGAUGAUCAACUCUAUUGUGAAUGAUCUAUACUAUUAGAACUAUUUAGAAAUUAAAUUUCAUAAUUUUUCGACAUCAUUUAGCAAGUAAUCAAUAAGUCUAAAAAAUGACUAUUUUAAUGGCCGAUGUGGCACGUUUGUAAGUUCAACGAUAUAGAACAAUUCAAAUUACAUAAAACUUUGGCUAAAUUACAUAAAAACCCAGUCAAAACCUGAUUUUUCACUUUUCCCCCCUGUCAUUUAAAAACCUACACUUUGUCCCCUUAUAAAAUGAAAAAUGUUCACGGGGUUGUACGAUGUGAACAGUGAUGACAAAAUGACCAUUUUGCCCCUCACCAUUUUCGUCUCCUCCCUCAUCUUGCUCAUCCGCCGCCUCGAUCGGCCGCAGUUCGCGCCUCAAUCGACCGCAGUGCCUUUCCAUUUUCUUCUUCACCUACUUCCCUUCUCCUCCUACACCUUCGUCGCCCCUCCAUUUCAGCGACAGUAGGGAGGAAAUCGAGGUGGGCGUGGAGGGAGAGGUGGGCAAGGGCAACGAGGGCGAAGGCGAGGCGGUGGAGGAGAGCGAGGGGGUGUUUGUGGGUGCGGACGGAGAUGUAGGCGAGGGCGAGACAGUGGAGGAGGGCGAGGCGGCAAGGCGGAGGAGGGUUAAGCAUCAGUAGAGAGGGUGGAGGGUAUUUUUGACAUAAAAAAAUAUUUUAUAACGGAACCCUAACGGAUCACUAACGGUAGGGGAUAAAGUGAAUUUUUUUCAUUUUACAGGGGGGCAAAGUGUAGGUUUUUAAAUGACAGGAGAAAAAACUGAAAAAUUAAAUUUUUACAGGGGGGUUUUCUGUAAUUUAGCCUAAAACUUUAAUAGAAAAUUUUACUUAAUAUUAAGAGUAAAAUCAAUAAUUCCGGUUUGAAAUUUAAAUUUUUUAUUACUAUUUUUUGUAAGAUUUUUAUUUUCAGCCGUUUAUUUUGAGACUACAAGCUUACUAUGCAAACAAAGCUAAAAAAUUGUGAAAUUUGGAUUCUAAAUAGUUCUAAUAAUAUGGAUUAUGCCUAAUAGAGCCAAUCGUUGAAUCAGAUGUCCUAUUAUCAAAAACAACUUAUAAGUAUGGAGACCUCCGUACUUUCGAAAGUACAGGAGUCUAGCUCUAAACUAUUGUUACUCUUAUCAAUCUGGGACUCCUCUAUAUACUAUUCCCGUUAUGCUUCUAAUUUCAAUCAUAUAAAUAUAUAUAAAAAGUUAGGCUGGUAUAUUAUCGAUAACACAGAGGCCUUUAUACUACCAAAUUAUUUUCAAUGAUGUAGCUUCCAACUCGAUGAUCGACUCCAUUAGACUUGAUCUAUAUUAUUGAAAGUAUUUGGAAACAAAAUUUCAUAAUUUUCGAUAUCAUUUACCUAUCAAACGAGUAGUCUAAAAAUGAAAAGCUGAAAAUAAAAAUCUCAUAAAAAAUGAUGAUAAAAGACUUGAAUUUAAGAUCAGGGGUACUGAUCUUACUCUAAAUAGUGAAAGAAUUUUCUAUAAAAAUUUUAUCAGAUUUGAAUUAUUUUACACCGUUAAAUUCACAAACGCAUCACAUAUACCAUUAAAAUUGUCAAUUUUGAGACCUUUUGAUCACUAGUCAAAUGAUGUCGAAAAAUUAUGAAAUUUAAUUUUCAAAUACUUUUAAUAGUGUAAAUACAAGUCUAAGGGAGUCGAUCGUCGAUUUGGAAGCCGCAUCAUUAAAAACAACUUAGCAGUACGGAGGCCUCCGUGCUACCAAUAGUAUACCAGCCUAGCUCUAUAUAUAUAUUUAUAUAUAUAUAUAUAUAUAGAGAGAGAGAGAGAGAGAGAGAUCUAGAGAGAGAGAGAGAGGGAAAGAGAGAGGAUUGCUAUGCUCUUAGGAGCAUGGAGGUCUCAGUGCUUCUGAGCUGUUUUCGAUGAUAGAAUCUUGGAAUCGACAAACGGCUCCGUUAGACUUGAUCUAGCAUAUUUCGGAGUAAGGAUAUCUGAAAUUCCACAGUAUGAGAUACUUACUUUGCCCAUUAUACGAUGGCAAAAGAAUCUUUUUUUUCUUUUUCUUCAACGUAUACUUUAUAGAACAAGCAUCCGUGUGAAGGGUGAUUUUCGCCCUAAGUUAGAACCCAGUGUUAUGACUCUCGCUCAUCAUACAUAAUUAAUAGAAUCUUUCAAUAAUUAGCAGUACUCUGGGUUACUCUGGGUUUGGGAUUUAAGUUUAAAUCUUUGGUGACUAAAAUCAACAUUUGUUGAAUUAAAGAUCCCAAUUAAAGUGGUUAUGGAAAGUUUUCAACUUUUAUAGUAUUUAUGAGAAUGUUUUAGUCAUUAUAGUACGAAUGGAUAGAUUUAUAUAUGUAAGAAAGUUUAAAUGGGAAUAAACAUUUGAGGCAAUUUGUAACAUUAACAAAGUAACCUAAUUUUUAAUUUAAUGGCUGAGAUGGGAACUGGGAAUUUUCCACAACUUCCUAUAUCACUCUUUUAUAUAUAAGUUGGGGGAGUUUUGAUAUCCGACAAAACUUCUUCUAGUUGUUAGUUAUCUACUUUAUAACCUCUUUUUUUUUCUUUCUUUUAUAUAAGACUUAAAUAAUUACACUGAUCUUUGAUUUUUCGUAACACCCCUAGAUUCUUUUCGAUUCUUCUAAAAGCCUCCGGUUUUCAUAUUCGAAACGAAGUCGAAGAAGUAGAAACCGCAGACGACGUUGUUUUUAGAUAUAAUCUUCUACAACUACUUCGUUGACUAUGGACUAUUCGUAGAGAUAGGUUUUUCAUGAAAGAGUGUCUGUUCGGUUAGUUCUUAUUAAUAUAUAAAUUAUUACUUUCUAAAUACUUACGGACUACGUACCAUCCUACUAAUUAAGGGAGGUUAAUUGUUACUUAAUAAUAGUAACAUUUUAGUAAAGAAUUAAAUCCUUUCUUUAUAACAUCGAUUUUUCAACCACCACAGUGCAACGUACCGUAACAUGGUAUCUAAGAGGUGACGGAUUUUGCACUGUUUGAUAUACGUACGAAAAAAAAAAAAAGAUUAAUUUCAUUAAGUAAUUACACAGUAGUGUGUACGCGGAUUAAUAUUGGAGUUUUAUUAGGAGAGAAACUGUUAGUAAAAAAAAAUUAAUCAAUAUAGGUAAACGUAAUUAGUCGACAAACUAAUAGAUGUAACAUUCGAUAUUAUAUCCAUGUUAACAUGUGUUCGAGCUUUUUCAGAUAAAUUAAUGGAUAUCACAUCCUGAAUCUAUGUUAUUAACCUAAAUAUAUCUAUUUCCGAACUAACAACGUAAAGCAGGAUAUAGCUUUAAUCUACAUUUAGUAUUAAAUCGUCGACCUCUCUCAUUGAGAUGAGCUAUUUAUUAAUUAAUGAAUAGAAAGCGGAGUAGUCCUUUUCUUUUCUCUUUUCAAACGAAGAAACUCCAAUUAGAGUGGUAGAGCAUAAAUUUUAUCUUUCUACAUGCUUAUAACGAAAGUUAACGUUCAUUGGUUUUGAAUUUUAGGCAUCAGCGUUGUAAGAGUUAAUUUAUCAUGGCACGCUCAAUUUACGUUUACAAUAUUGAUGUAGGCUGGUUUGUUUUGUGGUCAAAAUAAAUUCUCGAAAAAACCUACGAACUUGUACGCCAAAUCAUAGUACACCGAAUUGGCUGGCAGGGAUCUCGUUCACCGUUUUCCAAACCACCAACCAUGGGCUCUGGAUUCAAGCUUAGGAUCAACUAAGUGUAAAGGUCGAUUUAAAUAAAGAUUUACUUUAUUUGCUUCGCCCAUCGCAUGCACGAUGAAUAGAGAGAGAGUUUUUUUUUCAUAGUACACCGAAUCAAAUGAGUUCCUAGUACGUUGUUAACUGUCUACUUAUCAUAUGAAUCUAUAUACAACGAAGAUUUAAUAAUAAGACUUUUUUCUUUUUGAUUAGUAUUCACGGAAAUCUCUGAAACUAGGUUCAAGAUCAUAAGUUUGUAAGUUUAUCAAAGAUUUUCUUUGACUAGAUAUUUCACACCUCUCACUAACCAGAAUAUGGUUUCUUAAGAAUUUAAUUUUCACAAUGCUGCUCACGUGUUUGUUUUUGCUUUCUGCCGUUUGCACUUUAUUUGUUUCAUGUUCGUCUUUUAUUUUAUUUGUGUUUCUAAAUGCACUUUUUAAGAAAAGUCCUUUUUUUAAUACCUACUUUCUCCUCUCUUAAAAUGAUACUUUUUUUUUCAUAUUACAAUACUUCUAAUGUUAUGCGAUGUAGUCUGGUUCCAGAGGCGAUGGGUGGUGUCUGUAGAUAAAAAGAAGGUGUUAAGUAAAGGGUUUUUAAGAUAGCGUGAUGCUUUAACAGUUAUUUAGUACCCGGGUUUUAGUUUCAACUAUUAGUUUAAAGCUCCGUGGAGAUUAAACGUUGGUGAAUGAGUUAAUCACUCCGACCAUACUAAGGCCUUCGUGUUUUGGGAGGUAUGAAGAUUCACGUACCAAAAGCUACAACUCUAAAAGCUUAGUUGUUAAACGAGACAAUCUGAACUAGUUCACAUAAACUUAAUGGACUUUUUAUUUAAAACACUAAAAAGCUAUAGUAAACGGAUUACUAGCUUCCCCGAGUUUUAAUUAUUAAAAUUACCGGCACCACUCGGCAAACGUUCAAAUUGCCACAUUUUUAUAAGUUUAGUACAUUUUAAAACUAUCUUUUAAAAAAUAUGAUAUAUUUUGUUCUAGUUAUAGAAACUAGAUUUUAAAAUUAUAAUAUAGUAGUGUAAAACAUUCUAAAAAUAAAAAUCGGCAACUAAAACUGGGGGAAGCUAGUAAUCCGUUUACUAUAACUUUUAGUUUUUUUAAUAAAAGAUAGUUUUAUUAGAUCUAAUUCAAAUUGUCUCGGUGGCUAGCAGCUAAACUUUCAGGGUUAUAGCUUUUACUGAACCUUCGUGCCUCCCGAGGCACGAAGGUCUUCGUAUGGUUGGCAUUAGAGAGAGAGAGAGAGAGAGAGAGAGAGAGAGAGAGAGAGAGAGAGAUAUAUAUAUAUAUAUAUAUAUAUAUAUAUAUAUCUCUCUCUCUCUCUCUCUCUCCCCCCUUUCUCUCUCGCGUUCCGACGACACGAGAAUCUUCGUGUCUUCUGAGGCGGGAAGCACGAGGACUCGGUAAAAGUUACUACUUUAAAAGCUUAAUUGCUAGCCGAGGCAAUUUAAACUAGAUCGCAUAAACUUCAAACCCUAUUAACGGAUAUAUGGGCAGUAUACAAACUUUUAUAGGUUAAAUGGGGAUAAAAAAAAAAGAAAGAUUUUAUGGGGAAUAUACAAGGUGGCAAUCACGUUUUAUGAGGGCGUCAAUAGAGGACAAUUCAAUUGAACCCAAUUUGCACUCAAUUUGUAGAUGGCGUCAAUUUUUUUUAAUUUUACGGUUAAAACGGGAAUUGAAUUCCCGUUUAUUCUUUACAACCACUGUCAUCUCCCCAUAUAUAACCUUUUCUGGUUUUCAAUUUCAUUAAAAACAUGGGGACCGAAAUUCCCGAUUAUUCUUUCAGUCACUACCACCUUCCCAUAUAAACUUUCCCGUUUUAUCAUUAAAAUGUCUCAAUUAUCUCAAUUAAUUGUUUAAAAUUAUAUAAUCUUUAUCCAACCUUGCAUUUCUCCCAUAAAAGUUAUAAUCGUAAGAUUCUCCCCAUUUAACCUUUCAGCCUUUGAAAAGUGCCCAUAUAUUCGUUAACGGGGAAUUUCAAAGAUCUUUUAUUAAAAACACUAAAAAGCUAUAAUAAAUGGAUCACUAGUUUUCCCAAGUUUUAGUUAUCAAAAAUUAUUAACUACAGACGGCAAAGUUCAAAUUGCCCCAUCUUCAUAAAUUUAGUCUAUUUUAAAACUAUGUUUUAAGAAAUAUAAUAGAUGUUGUCGUAGUUAUUGAAACUAGCUUUUAAAAUUACAAUAUAGUGUUGAAAAAUAUCUUAAAAAUAAAAAUCGGCAACUACAAUUUAGGAAGACUAACGAUUCAUUUAUUAUAGUUUUUUGACAUUUUUAAUAAAAGAUCUUUGAAGNGCUAGUUUAACGGUGUAAAAGAAUCGAAAUUUGUUGAAUUUUUGAUAGAAAAUUCUAUUCACUACAUAGAUAAAGAUCAAUAACUCCGAUCUUGAAUUGAAGAAUCCGAUUAUCCUUUUUUAGGACGUCGUUCGAUUUUGACCAUUCAUUUUAUGCCCACUUGAUGGAUUUAAUUAUGAUUUCGAAAAUUUACGAAAUUUAUUUUCUAGAAGUUUCAAAUACUCUAGAUCAUAUUUAACGGAGUGGAUUGUCGAUUCGGAAGCUCCAUCAUUAAAAAUAACUUAUGAGUACGAUGGCUCCAAUACUCAUAAUAGUAUAGUAGCCAUGGCCUAUAUAUAUAUAUAUAUCACACACACACACACACACACACACACACACACACACACACACACACACACACACGAAGGUUGCAAAUACAACUUAUAUAUAUCACACACACACACACGAAGGUUGCAAAUACAACUUAUCUAAUGUGACAACAUGCCAUGGGGACUUUUGAGAGAAGUCCCAACUCAACACGGCAUGAGCUAUAGUCUUACCUAUAAAUGCAAAAAACUAACAUGAUAGAUAUAUGGCGCAGUAAAGAAAAAAGUUAAAAUAUUUUGAACAUAAGUAUACCAAGUUGGAGACUCUCAGACACAAACCUGUUAAUUAAUUGAGAAAAAUAACAUGACUGUCGAAGAUGAAUGCUGCAAAUAUGUUUGUUUUUGCACCAAGUAAUCACUCAAUUGAUCUGCCAAGGAUUAGAAAUUAUGAACCCACAAAUGACUUCUUAUAAGAGCUUCUUUAUUCAUGUGAAAACUUUUGACUACUGCAAGGUAUAAUCAAACACCAAUCUUACAAUUAUUGACAAGAAAUGUUCAACAAACAAUUAAUUAAAUUCUAUGAAUAUAUCAUUGCUUUUACAAGUUAUAAAUCAUUUCCUGUUAUUACUAUCUUAAGUUGUCAUAUCUAAUUAAUGGAUCUACUGCUUCUGAGUUUGAUGAAGUUGUAAUUUAUGUCUGAUGAUUAAAAUUGCAUCUGCGCGCACGUGAGAUGAAAAAAAAUUUAUCGGUUUGCUUAAUUUUAGCAUCAUUAGUUAUUGUUAUUAUUGUUUGUAUUUUAAAAAAAGCAACAAUUUGCUUUAUCUUCAUGAUCUAUGUUCACGUGCACUAAACAAGUUCAAAAUAUUUGAUCAGCGAUAACCUAUUAUUUAAUUACUCUAAAAAAAGCUCAAAACCACUAAUAUAAUACUAAUUAUGCCUGCUAACACUUAAGUCGACAGUCAAUUUAUUAGACCAAAUGUUAAUCAACUCUCCACUCGCUUUUAGCGCUUCGAGCUACAAAAAGGCGAUAAGUUCAAAUGAGAAUAUUCAUGUUUUAAUCGAUUGACUAAUUAUAACAAAAUAGAUCCUUCACUAUUGAUGAUAUGUGCUAUUAAUAAUAUUCCAGCCUAGUUAUAUAUAUAUAUAGAGCAGGGCUGCUGUGCUCUCAGGAGCACGGAGGAGCACGUCCGUGCUCCUGAGCCGUUUUCGAUGAUGGAGUUUUCGAAUCGACGAUCGGCUCCGUUAAACUUGAUCUAGUAUAUUUGAAGUUUCUAGAAAUAAUUUUUGCGAUUUUUCGUUAUCAUUUACCUAGCAAUCGAAAUGAUUCAAAAUCAAUAAUUUUUAACAGCUUAAAAUAAAAAUUCUAUAAAAAGUGGUGAUAUAGCACUAAAAUUUUCGAUCAAAAUUAUUGAUCUUGUUAUAAAUAGUAUAAAGAAUUUUGUAUCAAAAUUUCAUCUGAUUUGAAUACUUCUACACCGUUAAACUUGAAAACGGCAGAUAUCAACCAUUAAAAAUUAUGGAUUUUGAAUCCUUUCGAUCACUAGGUAAAUGAUAUCGAAAAAUCGCAAAAAUUAUUUUCUAGAAACUUCAAAUGCGCUAGAUCAAGUCUAACGGAGCCGAUCGUCGAUUCGAAAAUUCCAUCAUCGAAAACAACUCAGGAGCACGGAGGCCUCCGUGCUCCUGAGAGCACAGCAGCUCUGCACUAUAUAUAUAUAUAUAUAUAUAUAUAUAUAUAGAGAGAGAGAGAGAGAGAGAGAGAGAGAGAGAGAGAGAGAGAGUUGGGCUAGAAUACUAUUAAUAGCAAAACGUCAUUUUUGCUAUCAAGUUUUCAGCCAUUGGAUCAACUCCUUUCAUCAUUUCUAAUCAUUGGAUUAAAUACUAUAAACCAGUGGGGACCACUCAACCCUAGGGGACCACUCAACUCUAACUGACUAAUAUCAUCCUAACCCUACAAUUUCUCAUCCAAUGGUUAAAAACUUGAUAACAAAAAGAGCGUUUUGCUAUCAAUAUAUUCCAGCCUAAUUUUAUAUAUAUAUAUAUAGUUGAGCUAGAAUACUAUCGGUAGUAAACGAGCCGUUUUACUACCGAUUUGUUUUCGAUGAUAGAAUUUCCAAAUUGACGAUCGGCUCCGUUGAACAUGAUCUAUACCACUUAAAGUGUUUAGAAAUCAAAUUUUAAAUCUUUUCGACAUCAUUUGCCUAAUGAUCAAAGGGUUUCAAAAUUUGUAAUUUUAAUGGUCGAUAAGAAGCGUUUUCUCGUUUAACGGCGUAAAGAUAUCCAAAUCAAUUGAAUUUUUGUUAGAAAUUUUUAAACUAUUUAAAACAAGAUCUAUACUUUGAUCUUGAUUACAAGACUCCUAUCAUCAUUUUCUAAAGAGUAUUCAUUUUCAGCCAUUCAUUUUUCUGUUCACUUGAUGGAUAAAAGAACAAAGAACAAUAUCGAAAGUGCGUGAAAUUUGAUUUCUAGGUAGUUUAAAUGGUUUAGAUCAUAUUUAACGCGAGACCGCAUCGGAUCAAUUUGGGAAGCUCUAUCAUCGAAAACGAAAUCGCGUAGUAAAAAGUGGCUCCGAUUUACUACCGAGUAGUAUUCUAACUAACUCUAUAUAUAGUAUAUAUACUAUAUAUUUAUAUAUAUAUAUAUAUAUAUCAAUCAUUCAAAACAUAUAGUUUAUGGGCUUUAUCUGAAAAGAAAUUGUAGAUUGCUUUAUAAUGAUAGAGUCUAUGCGAGAAGUAUUGAUUGCCUUCAUUCUAAUUGAGGAUUAGCUAGGGCAAAGUGAGGAAACAUGAAAAAGGUCAUUAGGUUGCGUUAUUUGGAAAAGAUCAUAUACUAGAAGAAUGUCGCCUUUUGAUACAUUCUUGUUACCAUUUAGAAAGUAGGAAACUUAAUUACAGUACAGCAUCAAUUCGUUUCCUCUUUAUACUUUUGUAUCUUGUGGAGUUGCAUUACCAUUUAGGGACUGUUUGAAUUUAAAGUUUGUUUGGUUAGUGAUCAUGUAAUUUGAUUUAUUCAAAUUUUUCAGAAACAAAGUAUGCAGAUGCAUACGUUGCUAAAUUUGUUUGAUUUGAUCAUAAGCAGUCGAUUGAUCUUACUUGUUCAUUUCAUUUAUCCGCAAUAGAUCCAAAGAGAAAAAUUGAAAUUGUAACAAAAACUGAAAAAUGCAAGUAAUGAAGAAUGUUUCAUCUAAAAUUUUGCAGUACUAAUCCCUCUCGGAGUUUCUUUCUCACCAUACGAAUGGUACUGAUAUCGCAUCCUUAGAGUAAGAAAAGGAGAAAAACUAUGACUAGUAUGUGUACAAAUAGAGUGGUUCAACUACAAACACCACCAUGUUGGCAGGGAAAAAAAAAAAAGAACAAGAACAAGAACAAGAAAAAGAAAAUGGUGCUUGAUUAUGGUCAAUCGUGCCAACAAAGAAGCAUCACGACGCAACGUCGUAUAAUGUAUAGUUUGGCUCUUUGCUCCCUUAGAGCUCUGCUGAGCCCUCCUCUUUGCUUCUCCUGGCUAUGUAGCUUCAUUGUCAUGGCUUAAUUAGCUUGAACAGUUGUAAAGUGGAGAGGAGAAAAUAGUGUGUUGAGAAACAAUAAGUGAGAGAGAGAGAAGUAGAGGGUACUCUUUGCUAUCAAUUGUAGUUGGAUUGAAUAGUUUGAGGGGAUUCACAUAUGGAUUUUAUAGAGAGAUCAGGGAAAAUGGGGGGAAAUUAAGGGAGUGGUCCAACACCUAGAGGGCUUGUUAAUUAAGAGGUGCUUUCACACAAGUGUAGUAUCUUGAUUGUUACUUAGGAGACAAGGCUCUGAAUUCAUGUAUAUUGUUUUAUCUUUCUUGCUUCUUUUGCCUAUAAUUGUUUUGUUUUCUUUAAGCUAUAGAAAUUGUGGCCUUAAGCAAGCAUCAGAUAUUGAGGUAUAUUUGUCUCUCCUGCGCGCCUCUUUGACUGUACUGAGAAGUACUUCCUCGCCGAUCGAUUGCUUGAAGAAAACAAUGUUGAUAAAAUAUUACUUGUCGGAUCGUUAGCGCUAACCAUUAAUCCCAAAAGCUCGAGCUGUAGAAAUACGUAACCAAUUCACUUAAAGCGUACAGAUACAGCGCCCACAGGUCUCGGUUAUGACUCGGUCCAACCAGCCUCAUGUCACUUCGAACAUGACUCGGUCCAACCAGCCUCAUGUCACUUCGAACAUGACUCAACUCAGCCCAACAUAGCCUCUCGCCAUAGAACAGAAUGCUAACUCAUUUAAGCCAACAAUCCCCUCUCUAGCAUCUGCACACAUUUGCAGUAUUGGGGAAUCGAACUCGCGAUCUCUGGCUCUGAUACCACUUGUCGAAUCGUUGGCGGUAACCAUUCAUUCCAAAAGCACGUGCUGUUAGAAACAUACAACCAAUUCACUUAAAACAUACAGAUACAGUGCCCACGAGUCUCGAUUGUGACUCGGCCCAACAAGCCUCACGCCACUUCGAACAUGACUCGACCCAACGUGACCUUCUGCCACAGGACAAGUGCUGGCUUAUUUAAGCCAACAUUACAUUCGUACGCACGCAUUUUCUUUUUUCUCUCAGUUGGCACAUGCAACCUAACCUAUCAUGGCGCUCGCAACGAGAGUUUUACUAGAGCAAGUGACAGGCUUUGUUGGCCUAUCGAGGCAGUCGCACUCAUCGUCGCAUAAAAAGGAAAAUCGAGUGGCCUCUCGUGUUAAUGAAACCCUAAACCCUAAUGAAAAGCUAAAUUCGACUACAUUAUGUCGAGAUCCGAGCGUGCACUAGAAUAUUUUUGCGAGCUAACUGUUCUUGAUCAGUGAUCAGUCUCUUGUAUCUGUCCUUCGACUGCACGGAAAAUGCUUUUUUUUGUUCCCCUCCUAAUAUUCAAUAACAAGUUGCAUGGAGCAUGUCUCCUGAUCAGAGUAUAUAUACUUGUUUAUUAAUUCCUAGAAUGGCUUUUCAUAUAUAUACUGUUGUAGUACAUGGCUUGACAAUUCUUUACUCACAAAUCCAUGCCAAUUGUAGCAUUAUUUUUUUAAUUAAAUCCCUAGCUACUUUCUUUGCCUCCUUUCACAUUAAAUUCUCUUCACCUUCUUGUGGACACCAAGUUUCUAUGCCUAGGAUGCUUAAAACAAUCAUGAUUUUCAUUUGUACGUAAUUUUGUUAGUUUCUUUACUUGCCCUCUCCUUCAUGGUCUCUGUUUGUUCAGUUCUUGUCAUGUUGAAAUAACAAUGACAUGCAAAUACCAAAAUAAAGGAAUAUUUUAGGUAAUUUUUAAGCAAAUGCUGUCGCUGCUCGACACAAAUUUUUGCUGCAUUUGAAAUAGUUGGCAAGCUAUAUAGUGUUCAAUGCUGCAGCAUUUUUUUUUCUCAUUUCUUGCUUUAAAAUAUCCUAAAAGAACAUUAGAUAGAUAUAAAAUAUUGAAGUACAUCUCCUAAGUUUUUGAAAUUACGGAAGCCUCCGUACUUGUAAGUUAUUUUUUAUGAUGGGAUAUCUAAUUUGAUGAUCAGCUCUAUUGUGAAUGAUCUAUACUAUUAGAACUAUUUAGAAACUAAAUUUCAUAAUUUUUCGAUAUCAUUUAGCAAGUAAUCAAUGGGUCUAAAAAAUGACUAUUUUAAUGGCCGAUGUGGCACGUUUGUAAGUUCAACGAUAUAUAACAAUUCAAAUUACAUAAAACUUUGGCUAAAUUACAUAAAAACCCAGUCAAAACCUGAUUUUUCACUUUUCCCCCCUCUCAUUUAAAAACCUACAGUUUGUCCCCUUAUAAAAUGAAAAAUGUUCACCGGGUGGUACGGUGUGAACAGUGAUAACAAAAUGACCAUUUUGCCCCUCACCAUUUUCGUCUCCUCCCUCAUCUUGCUCAUCCGCCGCCUUGAUCGGCUGCGGUUCGCGCCUCAAUCGACCGCAGUUCCUCUCCAUUUUCUUCUUCACCUACUUCCCUUCUCCUCCUAUACCCUCGUCGCCCCUCCAUUUCAGCGACAGUAGGGAGGAAAUCGAGGUGGGCGUGGAGGGAGAGGUGGGCAAGGGCAACGAGGGCGAAGGCGAGGCGGUGGAGGAGAGCGAAGGGGUGUUUGUGGGUGCGGACGGAGAUGUGGGCGAGGGCGAGACAGUGGAGGAGGGCGACGCGGCGAGGCGGAGGAGGGUAAAGCAUCAGUAGAGAGGGCGGAGGGUAUUUUUGACAUAAAAAAAUAUUUUAUAACGAAAUCCUAACGGAUCACUAACGGUAGAGGAUAAAGUGAAUUUUUUUCAUUUUACAGGGGGGCAAAGUAUAGGUUUUUAAAUGACAGGAGAAAAAAAGUGAAAAAUCAAAUUUUUACAGAGGGGGUUUUCUGUAAUUUAGCCUAAACUUUAAUAGAAAAUUUUACUUAAUAUUAAGAGUAAAAUCAAUAAUUCCGAUUUGAAAUUUAAAUUUUUUAUUACUAUUUUUUGUAAGAUUUUUAUUUUCAGCCGUUUAUUUUGAGACUACUCGUUUACUAUGCAAACAAAGCUAAAAAAAUUGUGAAAUUUGGAUUCUAAAUAGUUCUAAUAACAUGGAUUAUGCCUAAUAGAGCCAAUCGUUGAAUCAGAUGUCCCAUCUUCAAAAACAACUUAUAAGUAUGGAGACCUCCGUACUUUCGAAAGUACAGGAGUCUAGCUCUAAACUAUUGUUACUCUUAUCAAACUGGGACUCCUCUAUAUACUAUUACCGUUAUGCUUCUAAUUUCAAUCAUAUAAAUAUAUAUAGAAAGCUAGGCUGGUAUACUAUCGGUAGCACAGAGGCCUUUAUACUACCAAAUUAUUUUCAAUGAUGUAGUUUCCAAAUCGACGAUCGACUCCAUUAGACUUGAUCUAUAUUAUUGAAAGUAUUUGGAAACAAAAUUUCAUAAUUUUUCGAUAUCAUUUACCUAUCAAACGAGUAGUCUAAAAAUAAAAAGCUGAAAAUAAAAAUCUCAAAAAAAUGAUGAUAAAAGACUUGAAUUUAAGAUCAGAGAUACUGAUCUUACUCUAAAUAGUGAAAGAAUUUUCUAUAAAAAUUUUAUCAGAUUUGAAUUAUUUUACACCGUUAAAUUCACAAACGCAUCACAUAUACCAUUAAAAUUGUCAAUUUUGAGACAUUUUGAUCACUAGUCAAAUGAUGUCGAAAAAUUAUGAAAUUUAAUUUUCAAAUACUUUUAAUAGUGUAAAUACAAGUCUAAGGGAGUCGAUUGUCGAUUUGGAAGCCGCAUCAUUGAAAACAACUUAGCAGUACGGAGGCCUCUGUGUUACCAAUAGUAUACCAGCCUAGCUCUAUAUAUAAUUUAUAUAUAUAGAGAGAAAGAGAGAGAAAGAGAUCUAGAGAGAGAGAGGGGGGGAAAGAGAGAGGAUUGCUAUGCUCUUAGGAGCAUGGAGGUCUCAGUGCUUCUGAGCUGUUUUCGAUGAUAGAAUCUUCGAAUCGACAAACGGCUCCAUUAGACUUGAUCUAGCAUAUUUGAAGUUUCUAGAAAAUAAUUUUUACAGUUUUUUGAUAUUAUUUACUUAGCAAUCGGAAGGAUUUAACAUCAACGGCUGAAAAUAAAAAUUCUACAAAAAGUUGUGAUAUAGCAUUAAAAUUUUCGAUCAAAGUUAUUGAUCCUGUUGUAGAUAAUAUAAAGAAUUUUGUAUCAAAAUUUUAUCUGAUUUAAAUACUUCUACCCCGUUAAACUUGAAACGGCAAACAUCAAUCAUUAAAAACUAUUGAUUUUGAACCCUUUUGAUCACUAGGUAAAUAAUAUCGAAAAAUCACAAAAAUUAUUUUCUAGAAACUUCAAGGGGCAAUUGCUUAUAUACCCGUGAAAAGUUUCCGACUUUCCUAUUUACCCCUCUUAGAAUGCUAAUAUUGAAAAUACCCUCUUUACGUUCCAACCUAUUUCUAAUAUACCCCUAGAGUUAAAAUCUAUUAAUUAACUCUGUUAACUCUGUAAAAUUACUAUUUUGCCCUUUCAAAUAUACCCUUCCACCAUCACUGACUUUCUUAUUUGCCCUUAAAGCCAGGGGCACAAAAAUUAUUUUAACUUUUGGUCUUUUCCAAUAUAUACCCCUCUACUGUCACCAACAUUUCUUAUUUGCCCUUAAGUUAAGGGCAAAAUUGGCAUUUUAAUUUUUUUUAACUGCGGUAGAUGUUUAACUCACGUUUAACUCAAGUUAACUUAACAUGAGAUAACUGCGGGAGUAUUUUGCAAUAACGGUGGAACAUAUAAGGGGUAUUUUAGAAAGAAAAAAAUAUGGGUAAAUUGGAUAUUUUCAAACAUAUGAGGGGUAUAUAGGCAAUUAUCCCAAACUUCAAAUACGCUAGAUCAAAUUUAACGGAGCCGAUCGUUAAUUCGAAAAUUUCAUCAUUGAAAACGGCUCAGGAGCACAAAGGGCGGAGGCUUCUGUGCUUCUAAGAGCACAGCAGCCUUGCGCUCUCUCUCUCUCUCUCUCUCUCUCUCUCUCUAUAUGAGAGAUUACGGUUGGUAUGCUUCUGGAAGCACGGAGCCCUUCGUGCUUCCCAAUUAUUUUCGAUGUUGGGACUUUCAAAUCGACGAUCGGCUCCGUUAAACUUGAUCUAGAUUAUUUGGAUAGAAAAUAAAUUUUUUGAUUUUUCAAUAUCAUUUGCCUAGUGAUCGAAGGGGCUCAAAAUCAACGGCUAAAAAUAAAAAUCUUACAAAAUGUGAUGAUAUGAUAUUAAAAUUUUAGAUCAAAGAUAUUGAUCUUGUUUUAUAUAGUAUAAAAAAAUUUUCUAUCAAAAUUUUACAUGAUUUGAACAUUUUUACACCGUUAAACUUGCAAACGGCUCACCACGGCCAUUAAAAUUAUUAAUUUUGAGCCCCUUCGAUCAUUAGGCAAAUGAUAUCGAAAAAUCACAAAAUUUAUUUUUCAGGUAAUUCAAAUACUCUUGAUCAAGUCUAACAGAGCCAAUUGUCGAUUCGAAAAUCUCAACAUCGAAAACCAUGCACUUAGAAGUAUGGAGGGUUUCGUGCUUCCGGAAUCAUACCAGCCUCACUAAUUGAGUAAGUGGUUGCAAAUUAGAGGUGCCUCGAAAUUUGAUUAUCAACUUUGAUUUUGGGUCCAUGAUUUAUUGACAAUUUCGUAGUGCGAUAGAAUUUUUGGGAAAUGAAUUGUGGAAGAAAAAUGGAUGUUUGUGGUGGGUAGCGGAGACCUUGAUCUGAUGUAGCGUAUUGUAAUCUUCAUAACAUUGUACUUUCUUUUUCAUAGUAAAAUUCUCUCCUCUUUCAUCCAUGAUUUUUUUUCCUUAAAAGAAUUUUUCGCGUAAAUCUUUGUGUUCAUUUUAUUUUCUGCUUGUACUUUGUUUAUUUCACGUUUGCCGUCUUUCGUUUUUGUUUGUGUACUCGUCGUAACACUUUUAAUUUAAGAAUUCUUUGGUAUAAGGCCAAUCACUCUCCACACUUUAUAGAUCAGUUUCUUUUAGAAACUAUUUGAAUGUUUGAAUACUAGAACUUGGAUCAAAGUCUCUAAAGGCACUUAUGAUUAGUUUUUCUUUUUUCAGAAUAAUAAUUUAGAAGCAACAUAUAUCUAAGUAUACUAUCAUUACAACAAAAACGGUAUAUAGCGACACUUUUAAAUGUUGGUACAGGUCAAAAAAAGUGUUGCUGGCUAAAUUACCAACACUUUUAAAAGUGUUGUUAUAUGUGGAGUCGCUAGGUAUAUAGUAAUAGUUAAAGAGUGUCUCCAUAAUCUAAAAAGAGUCAUGCUAAUUUACCAACACUUAUUUAAGUAUUUAGCAACCGUCGGAAUUCUAGCUCGUUGGCUACGGUGGCGGAGGAGAAGGAGAGGGAAGGGCUUUUCGUCUAGGAUUUCAGUGGAUUGAGUAAAGGAAGAAUGGUAGAUGGUAAUCAAUUUUUCUUUUUCUUUUUUUUUUCUAUUUGUAAUCGGGCCGAAUGGCUUAGUGGGGUGAGUUGAGUGGAGUAAACUUUUAUUUUUGGUUGGAUUGGGCUUUAUAUUUAGCCAUUAGUAGAUUUUUUUUAAAGUUUUGGCAUAAAUGAGACACUUACACAAAAGUGUUCCAAACAUGUGUCCCUAUAACCUAAUUCUGUUGUAGUGUAUUCAUCUGUCAAUUGUUGCAUGAUCCUUGAGUAAACUAAGCCACAUGAUACUUUUUUUGAGAGAGAGAUAGGUAGCACGCUACCCGCUUCGUUUAUUUCAUUUAGAAAUAAAUUUAGCUGGAAAUGUGAAUCAAUUAGUAUUCGAACUUAGGUCUCGGGUACCAACCACCAACCCUUUUGCCACUUGCUGUAGGGACGGUCGGUUAAGCCACAUGAUACUAAACCGCAUGUUCAAGCAUCCAAAAAAGCUCUUAAAUAAAACUGGUGUUUUGUUUGGUCGGAUAUAUGUAGUUAUAACAUUUGCAUUUAACACGCAUGGUACUAUUUAGUUGAGAAUGUUGCGACUACGGAUUUUAAGUUUUGGUUACUUGCAAUUGAAAGCAAUAUUCGUGCAUCUUUCUAUUUUAAAUGCGAGAUGGUGAGAUUAACCUCAAAGAAGCAAUCUUUUCUCUUUUCUUUUCCUGAUGAGGCAAAAGAUAAGUAAUUAAUUAUUUAUCGAGUAGAGUUACUUUCUCCAGCUGCUAAAUUAUGAUUUACAUCUAAUUUCGAUAUAGGACGAAAUGCAACAAUCAAGCCUUUAUCUGUAUAAAUCCAAUUAUUGUAUCUAAGUCCUACACUAUAGGUAAUUAAAUAGAAUUUUUGGAGCUUGCGUACAAUUGUACCUAUAUUAUAGCUUACAAUGUAGAUAAUCAAACAGCUGAUUAAUGCAAAGGGAUAUAACUAAUAAAAAAAAUGAUUGUUAAAGAGAGGAUUAUUUUGAGGUUAUAAUUAGGCGCAUGUGUGAUGACACAUUAAUGAAUAACUUUAAUUAGAAAAAAAAAAAAAAGAAGCAUGCAUAUAGUUUGUCACGUUUUAGGCAGUGGAGAAUCUAUGGUACAAUGCCAUGCAAUGUGACACCACCAACUUUUUAGCUACAAUAUUUCUUUCCUAAAUUAAGAAAUGAUUUUACAAUGAUAAUAAUUCAUUGUUCAUUGGAGGGAAUUAACCAUCCUACCAUGCAUUAGGCAUUCAUAAAUCUUUCAUUAUUAAAUAUAUAAUUAUUGUUGAUUGGCUUGUCUGUGAGAAAGUACUUUUUGGGUAGAGUUGCUUAUCAGGUAUCAACUGCUUCAUCAACAUCUUCUAAUAUAGCUUUUUGUUGCAGCAGAAGCCAGAGAUGAUGAAGCUGAAGCAAAGCUUAUACUUUUGGCCUCCGAAAAUCUUCUUAGCUUUUCUUAGAUCCCCACAAUGCUUUUUAGUUUCUAGUCACAUUAAUAAAUUCAGAAUAUAUUUUCUUUCUUUUUUUUUCUCCAAUAUUUCAUCUAUUGAUUGUUUAUCUUCUUCAAAAUAGCCUAUAGUUUUGAGGGGGUUGAAUAUAUAUUUUCUCACCAUAUCCUUCAACACCUUUUAAGGGUCACGGGUAGAGUCGGUAAUUUAAUUUUUAAUUCAAUGAAACAAUUACAAUGUUUAACGGAGUUUACAAAUAAGGUUAAAUUUGAAAGAAUGUAUAUAUUUAGAUAGGUAAGCAUGAUAUUACUGAUUUUGUAAGAGUAUUUAUGAUAUUUUCAACUUUUGAAAGGUAUUGGUGAAAUUAACCCUAGAAAUUAAGUUGUUUACAACUAAAAUGAGUGGUUUCUAAAUUUGAAUUUAGUGUUGGGUCUCAUUCGGUCUCAUGACGAUUAAUAACUUUCUAAGACAAUUGAUAUAUAUACAUACUGCUUGUGCUCUCAGUAUUGUGACCCAAGAUUGAAUCCCGCUUUUAGUGGGAAGUGUGCCUACGAGCAAGAGAUUUCAUAUACAACUUCUUUUUCUUUUUUUUCUAAGAAAACGGUAGCAUAUUACCCAUUUCAUUCAUAAAGUAUGACACCUUAGGUAUCGUUUGGUUUAGGGAUAAGCAAAAAAUGGCUAUUCCAAGCGAGGAUUAGAUCAAUUUUGCGUUUGGAUGAAAAUUGGGUUAUUCCUGAGAAUAAAAAAAAUAGCGUUUGGUUAGGUAAGAUGGAAUAAGAAAGAUAGUGAGUUUUUACAAAUAAAAAAUAAUCAUAUUAUCCUCUUAUUAUAUUUGAAUUUAAAUUUUUAAAAUUUUAAAUUUAUAUUUUUAAAUUUAAAAUUUUAACUUUGAAAUUUUAAAUUUUAAAAUUUAAAAUCUCAAAUUUUAAAUUCAAAAUUUUAAAUUUUAAAUUUCAAACUUUAAAUUUAAGAUCAAAUUUAAAUUUGAAAAAUAUAAAAUAUCAAAUUUUAAAUUUCAAAAUUAAAAUAUCAAAAUUUAAAUUUAAAUUUUAAAAUUUAUAAUUUAAAAUUAUAAACUUUAAUUUUGAGAUUAUAAAUUAUAAAUUUUAAAAUUUUAAAUUUUAAAUUUUUAAAAUUUUAAAAUAAGUAUUGGAGUGGAACAAUUAAUAAAAAUAAUUUAUUAUAAUAAAUUUAUAAAUUUUUUUUUAAAAAUUCUACUUAAACUUAAAUUUAAUAAAACGAAUUUAUUAUAAUAUUAAAUAUAAUUUAUUAUAAUUCUUUUAUAAAUAUUUAAUAUGAAUAAUAUGUAUUAAUAUAUUACAGUUAUAAAUUUAUGAUAAAUUUAUUACGGCUCUAAUGUGUAGGGUUUCUUUUUUUUCUUUUUUUUUUACUUUUUUGUGCAUGUGUUGAGGCCUAGUUGCCUCAUUCCUAUAGACUUUAAUUAAAGUCUUCUAAAAUUCUUAAUGACAUGCAAUAGCUGUCCUGUGAAAUAUUUCUUCUUUUUUUUUUUUUUGCAACCACAAAACCCACUAGCUGGCACUACUAGAAACAAGCUCCCCUUUUGAAGGUUCUCAACUCAUAAUACACAUCUCCCGUAGAUAUCAACUGUUGAGCACAUUUAGAUCUCCCACUUGUUUGGCAUCAGGGGCGCCUCCAUCAUACAUUUGCUGAUCACGCAACCUACAAAAGAGUGAUCAGCAAUCUAUAGUUCGUUUUGACACAUCAUACAUUCCAGCUUUUCCUACCAUUCCUUUUUAGACAGAUUUUUUUUUUUUAUCAGUACUUUCUUCCUCACGAUCAACCAGAUGAAAAUCUAAACUUUCGACGGGCAUCGAAGCGUCCAAACAAUGGCUGCUGAUCUUACCAAGAUCUAGACUUGCACCUUAGAAUCAAAACACAAUUGGCAAAUUAUGCAGUAUAAAGCACUGGGUUAAAGAGUGGUACAAUACUCAGGAUGUGACAAAUCUGAGCUUGGAGGUAUUUGGUACCACAGAACAAAAGUUGAACUUCCUACAAGAUCCUCCAGAUGUUGGUUUUUGUUUCUAAAAUAUGUUUCUUCCACAUGAAUGAACUUACAUGCUUACAAUUGUCAAUUACGUUGCUAUGAGAUUGUAGUUUCACAAAUUAUCAGGAAUAAACUAAACUGUUGUUCAAUUUUAGAGUCGAUUGCAUUAUGUUCAAUGUUUUUACAUAUCAAACUGAUAUUGUAAAAUCACUUUAAGACUCUUCAAAUUAUUUGUCGAAUUUCUUAUAUUAAGCUGCAAUAAUAAAUACCGUUUACAGAUAGGAUAGGAAAUCAUGUAAAAAUGAAAUAUUAUACAUCAUAUUAUCUCAAACUAUAGCACAUUUUCACGUUGUCAUCUUGUGAUCUAAAAAAUUGUAGAAACCUAUCCAUGACUUUAUUUUUGUUCUAAGCAAAGUUUUUCGAAAACCACAAGAUCAUAGAAAUGCUCACAAUAAAACAAAAGUAACAAGUUAGCAAAGUAAAAACGCGCUAAACCCUACAAUAGUUAAGUACAACUUUUUAAACAUUGAGUGACAAAGUAAAAAAUAUACUAGACCACAGCGAGAUAAAUUGAUGUUCACCCUUAAAAACAAAAAGAUUACAAAAUACAUGGCAAAACAGACAAUCUAGUUGUAACAGAGUGAUUGAUUCCAAAUUUCUGAUAUUUUCUCCUAUUAUCUGCAGAUUUUGCAUGUACAUUCUUCCUCGAAAAAACAGUAAAAGGAAACCUUACAAGUUUUAGUCUCACUUAAAUACAUCUACAAAAAUUGUGAAAGAUAGAAUGUACUGUAACCAAAGACAGUUAACCGGUUAUCGACCAAGAACUGCAUAUAGAUCAUAUCGGCAAUGUCCUCAGCAAAUGAAGCGCGCGAGUCCACUGUGGACCCUCAGAGAGAAUGAUCCUCUUUAGCACUGGUACCGCCCCUGCAGAAAUUAUUGCCGGGUGGUUCUCUGCAUCCAUGCUUAGAUUGUAUAAAAUAGCCAAACUAGAUUCAAUAACAUCACCCUUUCCCUCUUCAAUAAGCUUCACUAAAUGAAAUAUCCCACCGGCAUUUGCAACCGCCUUUGCAAAUUCCAUUGAUCCUCCGGAAAUUAUCCUCUUCAAUUCCAAUACCGCAGCUCUUUUCGAUUCGUAGGAAAAUGAAGUUCUAAUCUGCUCAAUGAGUCUCGGAAUUGUUUCGUAGAUGAUUACUUCCUUGUCGACAGUAAAAUUUACAUUAUUUAAGGCGGAACCAAACUUAGAUUCGAGCUUCACAAGGCAUGCUGCCACCCAGUCCUUCGUGCGGAGCGGAAUAUCAGAUUUUAGGAUUUUCCGAAGUUGAAUUACGUAUUUUGCAGGGUCUAUCGUACGAUUGAAUUGGUCAAAAUUUAACAACUUUGUGAGUAGUCUAGCGGCAGCAGAAGUUGCGAGGCCAAUUUCUUCUAUUUCAACGAUAGUUGGCUCAGGCUGGUUCUCAGUAUCAUCCUCCUCCACUGCACAAAAGUCAAGUAAAUCAAAUGUGUUAAAUUAGUAUUGUAUUGACCAAAUUAUGGAAUAGUAAGAGAAGUUCAGUAUUAGAUUAACCAGAUUUAUGUGAAAAAAUAAUCAAAAACAAAAAGCAAAAUACUGUUGGCAGUUUAGUUAAUCCUUCUCUUUUUAACAUUUUUUUCAGUUCACUCUUCUCAUUUCCCCCCGUCAGUUCUUCCACACGAACGAGAAAGAAAUCUGGGAAGAAAAUAUGGAUGGUUGGUGGUGGAUCUGGGGUGUCUCAGCAUUAGCCUUUCCUUUGGUUGGAAAGAUCCAGGGCAUCUAGACUUAGCUCUUCCUUUGGCCUCCAACCAAGGAGGCAAUCGGAUAUGACAGAUGGUGAGGCUUAACAAGUUGUAUUAGUAACGAUGCUCAAAAGGCAUCCAUGAGUGAUUCUGACAGCUGUAGACGGACAAAAUGGGAAAGACAGCCAAGAAGAAAAAGGAAAAAAAUAAAAUAAAAUAAAAAAUAAAAAGUACAGAUUUUAUUAGAACCGACGGUGCCCGAAAUUUUUGGAUAGCAAAGUUUCCAAAACUAAAGAAAGGUUAGUUUACUAAAAUCAAAAUUUUAAAGUUUAGGUACUCAUUUCAAGAUAGACUGUAGGUAGAGGUGUAAAGCGGGCCACCUUGGCCCAACCGGGCACCGCACGAGUACUUCACCCGUGCUGUGCUGGCCUAGCCCGAAUGUGUGGGCCAUGCUAGGCCGACUCCCCAAGGCCUGUCGGCCCGGCAUAGCACAACCCACAAUAGGCUGGGCUGUGUCGUGCCAGGGGAUUGGCCCGUAGCCCGACACGAAAUUUCCUGUAAGGAUUGUAUUUGCCAGGCCAGCACGGCUUUGACCUAGCCUUAGAGACCUAGUCUCCCUAGCUCCCUCAAGAGAAAGGCCUAGCCAUUAUGGCUAAGCCCUUCUACCAAGGCCUUAGGCCCAAGACUAAAGACUAAACAUUUGCCUUUUUAAGCCCUCAAGACCAAAUAGGGACCAAGCGCUACCCCUUCUCCUAAGGGUAAGACCUUAUUUUGGUUCAUUUAAAUAUAUCAAAAUCUAUUUAAGUGGAUCAAAAUAUCCUUCCCGACAGUCAAAAAUCAUACUAGUGGGAAGGGUAUUUCGGUCUAUAUAUUUUUUAAAAAAAAAUCAAUUUUUUAAAUUUUUUAUCUCUAUAAAUACUUUUUAAUUUUAUAGUUUUAUUUUAGAUUUAAUAAAAUUUUAAAAAGACAAAUAAAUAAAAUAAAUAAAAGGGCCAGAAUAGAGCGUGGCCCAACGUGGCACUGCCCAUGCCGUUUAGGCUAGGUGGACGUAUUGGACAGACGAUCCAAGAAAUUCAGCUCGGCGCGACACAAACCGGAUAAAUGUGGAUCGUGCUAGCCCAGCACUGCCGACAUUACACCCUAAACUACAAAUCAAAUAAGUAUGUUUUCAACUUCAUCUUUUAUCUUUUCCCUCCCUAUGACUCUUAUAUGCAAAUUACUAUAUAAGUCCGGUUUGGUUGUUUAAUAAGGUUUUCCUUUUCAAUAUAUUGCAUUUUACUUUUCUUGUAUGAAAUGUUAAAUAAAUCACAUAUUGUAACAAAGCUCUCCAAGUGACCAAAGUGAUCCGAGCAGAAUACUUGAUACAGGUUGUUACACUGUAGCUUAGUUACAGAACAAUAUAAAUAUUCAAGAAAAAGUGCAUUCUUUGUAUUCCAUUAGAUUUCGACAUAAUGGAUCCUUCCUCUACCAAAAUAGUGAUUUCUAGAUUAGCUUACACAAUUCUCCCCCCAAAUUAUUAUCAAACAAAACAACCCCCGAUAGAUCGAUGAAGAAGCAUAAUCUGUGCAUUAUAAGAAAUCUAGGCCUCUAAAGAGAGAGAACGUGUACCAUUCAGAACUCCCUUUUGAAAAACAGCAUCGAGUCCCGACUCAAUUCCAGCAGCAGUCAUUGAGGUAGUAUGUGGUUCAAAAUUUGCUAAAUACUCGAGGAAAGAAGCAACUUUUGUUUGCACACUUGGUGAUGCUUUCCUCAGAAGAUCAAUUAAGCGUGAUAUAAUACCAAAGCCAAUAAUCUCCAUCCUAUGAGCAUUUAAGAGCAAACUGUUAGUGUAGCAUUACAUAGAAAAGUUAGGGACGAAAGGAAGGUUCCUUCAAAAUAGAUGUUCAUUGCAAAGAUAUAAAAAUAAUGACAAAAGAAAUAUGUAAAUUGGGGUAUAAAAAGCAUUUGCAGGGGUUAGUACUUUUAAGAAGGUUUGGACAGUGGGAUUUAUAUAAUAAUGAAAUGCUCUAAGAUAUGCAUUUGGUAGCAUUUGAACAAGUUAUGAACGAUAGAGCAAUAAUAUCCAAUCUUUAGCGAGCAGAAGAAAGUCAUCACACUUCAUCAAUUCUUCUAAGGGUCAUUUACUAACUACAAAUUUGAAAGCUCAACCGCUAGAUAAAACAGCAAGAAAUGCUUGUUAACAUAAUAUUUCAAGUUAGACUGUUCUUGCUAAUUUAUCUUCCACCCCUUUCCGCAUAAGUCUAGGCAUAACCCUUCUUCAAACAUAUGAUAAAGCAAAAAACUGAUGACGAAAGGUUCACUAUCAGUUUAUCACUAUAUCACAAACUCUAUGUCCCAUGACAUGGCCCAAGAGUCAACUAUUUUGUUCUUGCAACAAAUCGCUAGUCCUUAAGUUUGUACACUACUUAUGAAAGGAAAGAAAUCCUUCAAAAGCAAGGUGCCAUGAGAUAGGUUAAUCGCCACAGUUUUAUGGUUGCAAUAAUCCUCAACACUUACUGUUAAAGAAAAAAUCGUCUAGGUACAUGCACCUUCCAUCAAUGUAGGGUUUACCAUUAGAGUUCAAUCAUUCCCUACCAGACGUCUCACCAUUUAAAGGGAAUGAGAUGCCUCAGAUCUUUCCUUCAGAGGGGACUUUUUACUAUAAUAUUUAGUAAUACACUUAAUUUCAUUGUUCAACUUUAACAUCAUUAUUCAUUAUUCAGCGCUUAACAUCACUAAAAAAAAGAAAGAAAACAGAUUUAUUUAUAGCCCAUCAUACCAAGUAAUAUCCAACAUCUCGAUGUUUGUUAUAUAAUACGGUUAAUUUCAUACGUGUCCCUGUAAAGAUACCAAAUAGCAAAUAUAUCUCUACAAAGUUUUAAGUUAUCAGAUUUGUCCCUCUAAAGUUUAAUCUUGUUGCAUAUAUAUCCCUAUUAUUAGUCCCUAUAAAAAAAAUUUGAUUAACCAUGGUAAAAAUAUUAAUCAUAGUCAAGAAGUAAAAUGACCUUUUCACUCUUGUUAUAUAUAAUUCUCAUUAACUAAUGGGUCCUAGGUUACAUGUGAAGUCAAAGGGUGUGACAAAGAGGAAGCUGCUAGGGGACGAACGUUCCUAUCGUUCCACGAAGCCCUCCGAUGUAGUCCUCGUGCAAAAUUAACUUUAUUAAGAAGAGGAGAUAAGUGAAGGAGAAGUGAUAGGUGCAGGAGGGGUGGGAGUUGGGUGAAGAAGAGGAGCAAGAGAAGAGAUGCCAACAACGAGGGGUUGGAUGGAUUUUAAUAGAGGAAGAAGAUGACUGUUGGGACUUUUCGGGAGUGCAUAUUUGCACACUCCUAACUGUUAGGACUUUUUAGAGGAGCAAAUUUGCAAUUGCAAAACUGUCAUUUUACUUACCAACUGUUAAUAAACAAACAAUAGACUAACGGCAACAAACUAGAGAGACAAAUGUAAACAUGUUAGAACUUCAAGAGGGGCAAAUCUGAUAACUUAAAAUUUUAUAGGGAGAUAUUUGCUAUUCAAUAUCUUUACAGGGACAUGACUGAAAUUAACCCUAUAUAAUUAUACCAUAUUAUUAAAGGAAUAAUAACCUUUCCCUUUAUUCUCUUUAGUAAUCGUUCCCAGCGCAAGUGGCAAAGGACUUGAUGGUUGAUACCCGUGGUCCCAAGUUUGAAACCUAGUUGCUUUACAUUUCCAGCUAAAUUCAUUUCUUAAAAAUGAACGAAGCAGGUAGCAUGCUACCUUUCUCCCAAAAAAAAAAGAAAAAAAAAAUUCUCUUUAUCCUGUCAAUAACCAGUAAUAAAAACUUAAAAGUGGAACCUAGCCCUUCCAGCAAAAGAGAUACAGUUGAAGCCAAAUUGGCAACUUCUAUAUAGCAGCAUUGGCAUCUUCAAAUAGCAUUUAUUUCCAUGGAUCUUUCUGGUAGCUAGAUAAUAAAUAAAAUAAAAAAAAAAUCUAUAUAAUCAAAUAGUAGUGCUUCACUGAACACGUAAUAACACUACCCAGAUGAAAAACUUCUGCAGCAUUACCAUCUUAUAAAUUUAUGCAAAUUCAGUCAAGAAAAGUCACAAACACCAACAAUAAAUACCAAAUAGUUACACUUCCUUUCCCCAUGAGAAGUGACAACUGCAGCUAUUUGAAGUCAAACUGCUUUCCAGAUUGGGCUUUUUCUCAACUUAGUACAGCAAUGUAUAAAAAGGGUUUACCAGUGAAGAUUCAGUUAAGUAGUUCUUGAACAAGAGAAAUUAAUUAGUACAGAAAAAUGGUUGGCUCAAUCAAGGGCAAAAUAAAUCUGGUAAAUAAUGGACCUUCAAGCGAAUGCAAUGCAAAACACCAUAUCAGGGAAACAACAAUAACCAACCUCGUCAUAGGUUCUUGCUUCAAUAAGGUUUGAAGAAACCCGCCAGCAUCAUCAGAACUAUUUGCCGAAUUCACCUUUCCCUCAGUUCCAUUGACAACUUUGUCAUCAAACUGUCAAAUUCAUCACAGACGUCUUACUAUUAAAAGGAUAACAAUCAAAAGUUUUCAUGAUAGUUACCAUCUCACUUACCAUUCUUUUCAAGCCAUUGCCUGUAUCAAAAAUUCGAGAAAGUAUAUCAAUAGUCUGCAAUAAAGAUUUUCUGUGAGCAUUUGGACCAGAUAAGCUAAACUUAUCAGGGUUUAUAAAGGAUAAGUUAGCUCAGGUACUGAAUAACCUUUUCGAGUAGGGCGACUGGUGUACUUGGGUCCUUCAAAAUAUUAAUUAGAGGCUCCAGAGCACCUUCUGCUUCAAUUGUCCUGCAAACUAUAUUGCUGCAGAAAAAAAACAAAGAAUAAGCUAAGAGGGUAAUAUUAUCAGAGUAUAUUUAAUUUUAAAGUUUCAGAACUGCCAAGUGAAUCGUUAUCAGGGUCAGUUUUCAAUGGAAUGUCAUGGUUCAACACUUUAACAAGGCAAGAGAAUUCAGUGCACAUUAAGAUCAAGACCAACAUGCUUACAAUGAUAGGCUUUGAGGCUCUGUAGAACUAGUCAAAAGGAAGCCGAAGUAUGUGAUUUGAAAAUCAAAUCUAAGAAUUCAUCAGGUUGAACUAGCUGCGUAGAACCAUACAUUGUUAAUUUGUUAAAUACCAAUGCCAUCACAUAGACAAAUAGGAUAUAAAGAAAGGUUAUUUCAAAAAUCCAAAACACGAAAAAAUAGAGAGAAUAAGCAGACAAAGCAUUAAAAAAAAUAAUAAUAAAGCUAAUGAAGAUGUUCGUCAUACUACAAUUUCUGCAACCCUCACUCAAACAAGCCAUAAGGUAAUCUGUGAUCACAUAGUAUUUUCAUCGUCUUAACACUACUUCAAAGGACGGAGAAAAUAGCACAGCUCAGUCUUUGAGGAACCAAAGCAUAAUUUUCCAUGACUAAUAAGCAGCAUGCACCAAGGUGUUGUCAAUCAAUUUGGUAGAGCUUGCUAAAGCAUGAAUUUCAGAGGUUUCUGACAAAAAUUUAUUUUCGGGUUAAAUAAACAAGUGGUUGACGAGUCGGCAAAGGUGAGAUCAACAAAUUAUCCACCAGUUUGUGUUCUGUGCUGAAAUUUUUCUGAUCUUCAACUGGAACAUCAUAGAAACUCUGGUCAAUUCAGGGGGUCAAUUGGCAUCUGUUGAUGAUACAAACACAUCCAAAAAGGGCAGAGUAUUCAUGAAGAGAGAAGAAGCAUUAGAGAAAAUGAGGACCUCACAAUGAGGAAGAAGAAAAGGCGAUGAAGAUGGAAGGUGUACACAGCUUCGAUGACCCAAAACACCUCAAAUCACUUAAUAAUCAAGUAUUAACUCAAUACCCACAAAUUUGUAAGCCCUAAAAGUAGUAAUAUACAAGUCACUACACUGAGUUCCUGGAGGAAUCCCAUAUCGUCUUCCAAGUAAUUCAACAAGCCUAUUAAAUGAGUCAAGCAUAACCAAUUGAAGCAAAUAGUUGUAUCUGCUAAGUUCUCUAGAGAUGAAUGUAAACAACAUUUCUUUUGCUGAUUUUAGGUCAUGUUCAUUUUGGCCAUGGUUCCAAGGUUCUUAAUAGUGAAGUUCAAAAUUUUGUUCAAGAAAACUUACGUCUAGUGCAUGCAAGGUGUUGCAGUCUAUUUGAAUAAAACAACGAAAAGGAAAAGGCAGGGUAUAACCACCUGAUACUUAGCUUGUCCAAUGCAUGAGCAACAGCUUCUCUGACAGUCAAUCUAUCAUGGUGCAGUAGCUGAACUAAUUGUCUAACAGCUCCAGCUUCCUUGAAAGAAUUACGCAUGUGCUCAUUUACAGAUGCAUCAGCAACUGAAUAAGCUGCCCGUAUAAUAGCAGAAGUAUCUUCAAGCCCAAGAAUCAAAACCAAUCUUGCAACACCAUCUAUCCAGGGCAAAAGAGUAUACUGUUCUUUCUGUGGAGAUUCAUUUUGAAUUUUUUCUCCAUCCUCCAUCUCAAUUGCACCGAUUCGUACAAGAAAUUGCUGUUGAGAACGCCCGACUAUUGCAUUCAUCUUAGCCUCUUCAAGUUUCAAGUUCUUCUCUUCAAUAUUCAAUCCAACAAGUAACUCAGACGCACCAUAUCUUGAAGGGCGCGAAUUUCGCUGAAUUUCAGUUCCAUCAGGUAAAGAGGGCCACGAAUGAGUUGAGGGUUUGAAAGCUUUAUAUGCUGCAGAACCCACAACAGGAACCCUAACUAAACCCUCUUCAAUUAUGAGAAUUCUGUAGUAUUCAUCCUUGCAAAGCUCAAGUAAUGCGGUUUUAGCUUCCUUUCUGAUGACUUUAUAGCCUUCCUGUUUGCCUUUUAGAAGAUCAGCCUGCAAACGAUUAUUCAUGUUUAGAAUGCAAAAAACAAGAGAAACAGGAUAGUUGUUGAUACAGAUGAGAGAAUGAACAGUACAUAUAAGCAAUCAGAUUAAUCUAACGGUUUUCUCAAGAUAGCAUAAUAUUCACUGAAUUUUGUUUGUACACAAUUCAUAUACAUUACUUUUACAUUGGACUUACUGUAAAAACAAAAAUUUAUUCUCAAUCAGUAGCUCUGAACCUAGAUUACAAACUAAUGUAAGACUGAAGCUAACUUACAGGCACUCUUUCAAGAUGUUGGAAUAGCAACUAACCGGCACUUCACUUUGGGCGGGCAUCUCCCACAAGCAAUAGUAACGUAUACAGAAAAUUUGGACAUGUUGAUAACUUGGAAGGAAAAAAAGGUGAAAAGCAAUGUCCGGAGUUUACAAUUAUGACAACAAUGAACUUGAGCACUAUAAGCACCAUUUCUUCCGACUGAUAUGCUAAUCAUUCUAAUAAUUUGAUGAUACUUAGUUAAGAUAAAAUGCUACCUGUUAACUCCAUAUAGGGGUGUACAUCUUAUACCCUUGCAUUUAGACCCCUUUUUAAUAUUUAGAGAGAGGGGGAGGGACGGGGUUGGGGGGGGGGNGCGCAGGCAGUGUGUGUGAAGUUUGAUAAGACAAGCGAGUAGAUCCUAGCCUUUCAGAGGCUAGGGUCUAAAAACCUAAGGUGUACAGGUAGCAUUGCUUGUUAGUUGAGAUUUUUGCAAUUACAAUUCAUUUGUUUGGAUGCAGUUCAAAGCUGCACUUGCAAAUCUUGUCAUUUUAGAUAUGGGAUAGUGGAAUUACCUCAAUGGCAAAAAAGUUUCCCUUUCUUGUUAAUGAGGUCUCCUAUCAUAGAGUAACUCUUUCGAACCGUUUUAAUUCUACUUACAUUCAAUUUGAGUGCAGGACAAGAUUUAGCAGUUGGGCCUUCAUUAGUAGGUCUAACUACAUCUACGUCAAGGGUUGUCAUGCCACUAACACAGGACUUGUCGUGGCAUGACAAGACACACUGGCACACCUCAGCACAAACCCUCUUUUCUAUCACGGCACAGGCAGCAUGAACAGCACACAUCAAUCAUGCCCACCUGUGCCAGCUGGCAAUAAUUGAAAAAACGUUAAACAAGAAAGUACCCAAUGGUAAAAGAAAACCUUGAUCUUAGUACAACAACAACAAACCAAGCAGAAUUUCAGGGCAUGUUAGCAGCUGCACCUACAAUGUAGUUUUUAGAUGCAGACAACCAAACAGCCCCUAGAAGAAGAUUUGAAACAUGGGUUGGCUUUGGUAAGUCACUAAGGACAUAUAUUGCACAAAUAGUAUCAUUUGUUCGAUGAAGUUUUCUCAAGACUAAUACUCAUCAAAGGCUGUAAUAACAAAUGCUAAGACAUUGCAAGCCUCCUUGUAUCAGUUUGAACUAUGAGCUUACUUGAAUUGAAUAGACAAGCAUUAAAUGUUUAAACAGUCUAAAGAGAGACUUACCAAUUUUGAAUAGACAAGCAUUAAAUGUUUAAACAGUCUAAAGAGAGACUUACCAAUUUUGGUAUUACCCCCACUUCGACCAUAAUGCCAUGAUUGGCAUGACUUAAAGCCAAAUUUGCAAGGAUCCCACCAGCUGCCUCUUUAACUUUUAUCUCUUCAUCAUCAAGAAACCUAACAAGCUUCGGUAGAAGAUCACUUUCUACGAUCUUCGGUCUAAGCUUCUCGUCCACAGAUAAAUUCCACAAAGCAAAUAAACCUUGCUCCUUAACCUGCAGAUACAUGCCGGCAACAGAUCAGCUCUAUCAGCGACAAAUUUUGAAGAGAUGCUUAAAUAUAUCUCUUUAUAUACUCAGCAAGAUCAUUUAUAUACAUCUAUAGCUGCAAAAUCUGGAUGUUCAUAUAUGCCCACCCUUGUACUUGGAAAAAGCUCCCCUCUUUAGAAACUUUAUUCUAAUAUAAAACCAACUUCUUCCCACGAAUUUAAUAACAUCCAAACUCCAGAAUAGUUUCGUAAGAACAUGCACUGUCAAAGGGUACAUAUGGAAAUUCAGAAUUUACAAGUAAGGAUUUAAGUGCCAUAGCACGGGAUCGUGCCGGAAACUUGCCGGCACGGUACGGCACGGUGAGUGCCGAGCCGUGCCGAUGCGUGCCAAUCAAAAAAAUUCUUGUGUGCCGACACAUAAUAGUAUGAAAUAUUUAUUUUCUUUAGCAAUAAAAUAUUCUAACCAUUUAUUAUGUCUUUUUAUCACAUCUUUUGAACAUUAUUGAGAAAAUUACUUACUAAUUUAAAGAAUAGAGGGUUUUGAGCUGUGCCAUCGGCACGGGGUCUGUAUCGUGCCGCUAUCUUGUUGGCACGGUACAGCACAAUGGAUACGGCCCGUGCCGACAGGCACUUAAAACCUUAUUUACAAGGGUAUACAAGUUUCUAGGUGAUUUCGCAAGGUUACAUACAUAAAAACCCAAUUUUAAGUACCUCUGGGGCAAUUGAAGAUUGGCAAAGAAGACUAGAAAUUUCCUCUAUUGCUCCACUUUCGGCAACAGCAUCCCUGUAUAACUUUACAGAAGUUACAUUUCGUAGAAGACCUGCGGCAGCUUCACAUGUAGAACAAGACUCGGAUUUGAGAAGGCUGGUGACAAGAUUAAUACAGCCAGGAAACUGCAUGAUAUCAUCAAUACACUUCCGUCCUCCUUGUGAGUAUUGCCAGAGUGUAAUAAUGGCAUGCUCCCGGUCUAACGGGUCAUUGUCUAGGCCAAGCAUUCGAACAAAAAGACCUAUGUAGGCUUCCCCAGAAGUCACAGUUCUGCUCAAUUGUUCAAUAUCCUGAUCAAAAAUAUUCAAGGACACAUUAAUUUAAAGGGAAUCAUUUGCUUAAUGAUAUACUGACUAGAAAAGCAUAAGAAAGAAUGAAAAGCAUUGUAACGUUGAAAGUUAACAAAAUCUGCAGUACAAAACAACUCAAUCCAGCAUUCAAAUAAAAGUAUCAUCUCGACAUGAAACUCUAUGAAUUGAUACUUCUUCAAGAACAAGAUUCGCUCUUAUUAUAGAUACUAGGUGGAAAUACAGCACCUAAAACAAGUAACUGAGGGAAUAGCUAAAACACCCUAAACAAGUAACCGAGGCAAUAAAAUCUCUAUGUUUCCAUUUACUCAUCUAAUAUCAUUGUCGAACAACGUUCACUUGCCACACCAGUGCUCCAAGAAACAGGUGAUGAACAAAUUGAUGGUCCAAGAAUCAAAUCAUUGCCAUACCACAUGAGUUCAAUAGUUAGGAUGGAGUUCUCCAUGUAAAUUUCACAGGAACCCCAGAGCUUAUUUUGCAUAUAUAUAUAUAUAUAGGUCCGAAUUGUUUUCAUCCUCCCUACAUCCAAUGUUGAGGUUGCUACAAGAAACGGGAGAAACAUUGGCUUAAAGCUGCUUCGACAAAAAAAAUUUCCGUAAUAUCCCAUAUUUCAUGAGGUCCCUCCUAAGACACAUCCAAAAUUCCAUCAUUUACAACUCAAAAUUAUGUCAUUUUACAACUCAAAGGAAUGUCACUUUACAACUCAAAGUAAGGUCACUCGGGACUAAAUAAAAGCAUAAUAGUUUCAAAAUAAGUGCCAGUUCGUCCCACUUCUACUUCUGUUUUUAGUUGCAGUCACCUUCCAAAGUGUUCAGCAAUAAGCCCAUAACUUCGAUUGCGGUGAGAAACAGAAAUGCAAUUUUGAGUAGGGAUGUCAACGGGUCGGAUGCCGGGUAGAUUUUCAAAAAUCCGAACCCGAACCCGACUCCAAACCCGAACCCAAACCCGAACCCGACGGAUUUUAAAAAUCCAUACCCAAACCCCCAAACCCAAACCCGAAAAUCCGAACCCGAAAAAAUUAUUUCACUUUUCAAUAUUUCAAAUAUAUUACAUUAAAUCUAAAUUUUUAAAAUACAAAUUUUAUAUACAUAUUAUAUACAAUGUAAAAUAAAUUCGGGUUCGGGUCGGGUACAAUCAAAAUCCAUAUCCGAAUCCAUAUCCGUCAGGCAUUUGGUUUUUAUAUCAAUAUCCAAAGCCAUAUCCGCUUAGCAUCGGGUAAAUCCGCUCCUUUCGGGUUCGGAUUCGAAUAAAAUUUCGGGUAUCUGUACCCAUUGACAACCCUAAUUUUGAGGCACAAAAGCAGAAAAGACCAACCAAUUCAGAGAUUUCAAUUCUGCUGCACAGAGAAUCUAUUUGUAAAUUUGCAAUAUAGUAAUUCUCCAAACAACACUACUCAAAAAACACUUCACCAAACUCUCAAACCUCAAUCGAUUCAGUAGCUAAACCAAUUCAAAGAUUUCAAUUCUGCUGCACAGAGAAUCUAUUUGAAAAUUUGCAAUAUAGUAAUUCUCCAAACAACACUACUCAAAAAACACUUCACCAAGCUCUCAAACCUCAAUCGAUUCAGUAGCUAAACCCUCCUGGCUAUUAUAUUGCAUAACUUCCAAAACAAACGCCUCUCACAUGUUCGACGAUAUUCCCCACAGAAUCCUACGACCAAUCGAAUACACAACAAAUAACACCACUUUCACAUUCAAAUCAUAUCCACGAAAACAAUAAAACAACCAACAUCAAUUUCCUCCUGGCCACCAUAUUAGGUAACCUUCAAAAACAUGAUUCCUCUCACAUGUCGACGAUACUCCCGACAGAAUCCUGCGAGUAAUCAAAGCAACAACAACUAACACCACUUUCACAUUCUAAUCAUAUACACGAAAACAAUAAAACAACCAACAUCAAUUUCCUCCUGACUACCAUAUUAGGUAACUUUCAAAAGCAUGAUGCCUCUCACAUGUUCGACGAUACUCCCCACAGAAUCCUACGACUAAUCGAAGCAACAACGACUAACACCAAUGCCUCUCACAUGUUCGACACUACUCCCCACAGAAUCCUACGACUAAUCAAAGCAACAACAACUAACACCACUUUCACAUUCGAAUCAUAUCCACAAAAACAAUAAAACAACCAACAUCAAUUUCCUCCUGACUACCAUAUUAGGUAACCUUCAAAAACAAGAUGCCCCUCACAUGUUCGACGAUAUUCCCCACAGAAUCCUACAACUAAUCAAAGCCACAACAACUAACACCACUUUCACAUUCGAAUCAUAUCCACGACAACAACGAAUAACCAAACACCAGUUUCUCUCACCUGGGGAGAGGACCCGGCACCGCCGCCGUCGUCGGCGGUGGCACCCGCCAGUAGGCGGCGGCGGCGGCGGAGGAGGGGAACAUCCGGGGGGCGGCGGAGGCGGAGGUGAGGAGAGUGUGGAGGGGUGAGGAAGAAGGGUUUGGAGGGGGGAAGAGGAGGAAGAGGAAGAGGAAGAGGGAGGAUUAAGGAAGAGAGAGCGAGCAUCGUAAUCGUCGUAAUAGUAGCAGCAGUAGUAGUAGUUAGAAGAGAAGUACAAGAAGAAACACGCACGCUCUUCGUUUCUCCCCCUCUUGUGAGGACUGAGGAGAGGAGAAAUGGGGAUUACCCAACGACCGCCAACAGAUAAAUCUAGACGCUUCUAACCCAAUGGAUGCAAAUGGAUCCGGGUUUGUAAAGCUUCCGCCCUGUGAGAACAAAAAAAAUAUAAAAAAAAAUAUAAUCUAUUCUGAAUCCAUUCCGUGCCACCAAGUAAAUAAAACGAAAGACAGGAGAUUCUUUUCUUCCUUCAAUCCGUCCCGAUCUGUUAAAAAUCCGGCAAAAAUUCACUCCCGUCCCAAAUAGGGCGGUAAGUGAGAGCAAAAAAUAAAAUAAAAAAUAAUCCGUCUCGAAUCCGCCCCGCCCGGGCAAGAAAUGGAGCGAGAGGUGGAGAACCCUCCUCCAAUCCACCGUGUUUGUAUCCCUACUUUCCACUUCGGUCUCUAGCUUUGUCUCUAAUUAGUUUUCUUUUUUUGGGACGGGGAUAAGGCUAAAUUACUCUGUAAAUAAUUAUUUUUUAUUUUUUUAUUUUUUUAUUUUUAAAAAUCUAUAUUUGUCUCCUAAAAAUUUUAAAAAUAUUUUUCAGAGGGGUACGGCGUUAAUGUAGAGGGCAAAAUAACCAAAUUAUGAAAGAAAAAUUAUUUUUUAAUACAUUUUCGUCAUUUUAAAAGAAAUUUUUAGUAUAAAUUAUAAAAAAUGAUCGGAAAAGUGAUGGAACACUGAAGGAGGGGAGCUAAAUGCAAUAACUUAAAAUGUUGAGAGGGUAAAAUAUAGAUUUUUGAAAGUUAGAAAGAGAAAAUUUAAAAAAAAAGUAUUUAUAAGGAGUUUUCCAUAAUUUAGUCUUUCGAUAUGGAGUUGAGUUGCUAUGCUUUUAAAAGGCGAUUUUUAGUGCAAUAACCCUCCCCUAAAAUUUUAUUUUAAAAAUAGACCCGUUAAAUUUUAAUUUGUAAAUAUGGUCCUAUAAAAGCGGUGAAUCAUUCACCGCUUUCUUUCUCUUUCUCACUUUUUUCUAUAUUUCUACGAUGGUAAAAGCGGUGAAUGGUUCACCGCUUUUAUUCUUUUUCUACUUCUAGAGAAGAGUUAUGAAUGCGGUGAAUCAUUCAUCGCAUUUAGAGGUCUAUUUUAUAAUUAUUUUUUAAAAAAAAUUAUUUUUACAAUUAUAAAAAUCAAUAGGAUUAUUUAUAAAAAAAAUUCUUUUAAAAGCACAAAAACAUCCAUGCUUAUAAUUUUUUAACCGUUGAAUCGUCUCAGGAUUCGUACAGUACUAGUAAAAAAAAAAAAUCUUAAUAGGAUACACAAUUAAUAGUACUAUAAAAAUUUUGAGUCAAUUCGACGAUUAAAAUCACAAGCACAGAUAUUUUUAGUUUAAAAGUACACUAGUGUAGUUACCCGCACGAUGCGACGAGUAGAUAUUAUCAAAAUAAUUAUUUUUUUUAGUCAUUGUUGAUCGUCGAUAAUAUUUUGGAGAAAUAAGUCUAAAAUAUACAGUUCAUCAAAUACAUAGAAAAUAAUACUCUAAAUAUGAAAUGAAGAACAUUAGUUUAAAUAGUUCGCAAGAAUUGGUAAAAAACUACUAAAAAUAAUUUUUUAUAUGUAUUCACUCAACAAUCUAUACAAUUAAACUCAAAGUGAAGAAAGUGAUUAAACUAUAAAAAAAAGAUAAAUACACGUCUACAAGAUAUAAAAUCUUUAGAAUUAAACAGUAUACAGGAAACAUAAAUAACGUAAACAAUCGUACAUACAAAUAAAUCACAGAAUAUGUCCAAAAUUUAUGGGUUCUCCCUUGUAUAGAGGAGCAAUAAGGGUACCAAAAUUCUAAGAUCCUCCUUGUCGAUGAUGUUGAACCUCUGGCGAAAAUACUUGUGAAGAACCUCCCAAACGACAUUGGACACCUUGUUCCCCACCUCAAGGAUCUGAUCUAUAGAGUCGAAAAUUAGAUCGAUCAAAGACAAAAUCAAUAGAAAAUAAUGCAAAACCCUACCAAUUCGAGGCGAUUUUGAACCGUGGGCAAGAUUUGCCAAAACUUCUUGAGCAUACGUAGAGAGAGAGAUUAGUGACGGAUAAAUAUUACUAAUAAUUCAAUAGAGAUGAGACAAUUAUAUUAACUCAAUAGAGAUGAGACAAUUAUAUUAACAAAAUCUCUAAAACACAAAAAAAAAAGAAUAUUAGUAAUUUAGCAAAGUUUUUAUCAAGAGUCUUGAUGAACUGGUUCAAAGUGGGGAGCACCUUCAACCUCUGCUUGAGAAUUCUACUCUGUCACUAGAUGCGCACCACCUUCAGCACUUCACGAAGCAAAUGAAGUCCCUCUUCAGCUAGAGAGCUCUGCCGAUCCCGAAGAGGAUCAUUCCAUGACACCACUUUGAGUAUAGCUUUGGAGGGUACAGAAGAGGCAGAAAUCCUAAAAGGAGUGUGAGAGAUAAAGAAGAGAGGGUUUAUAAAAAACGUGUGGAAAAAGUACCAACAAAUCUCGUAUGGUCUCGACCAUUGAAUAUAUUGAUGAGGAAAUGAUCGGUUUAUGUCGAUCGUUCGAUUGAAGAUUGUAAGGGUUUGGAUUAAAUUGAUGUGUGGUGUCUCUUUUGCAAAGACUCGUAGUGGUUAGGGAAGAAUGGGGAGUUACAGAAAAGGGGGAAGACGGAGGGACGCAGGAAGAAGAAAGGAAAAGGGAUGACACAUGAGUUAUAUAGAUGGUUGUGGAGAAGAAUGAGGAGUUAUACAGAGGAGGAAAAUGAAGUGACACAGGGAGGGAAAGAGAAGACGGAGUCACGGGAGUUACAUAGAGAGAGAGGGUAAGCGAGCCAUCUAAAUGAGAAAAAAAAAACUCUUAAAACAAGGAUGUUGCGCCACGUCAGCAAAAUUAUUGGGAAAUAAUAUAUGUUUAUAGAUUUAUAGAUUAUUGGGAAAUAAUAUAUGUUUAUAGAUGUUGCGCCAUGUCAGCAAAAUUAUUGAGAAAUAAUAUAUGUUUAAAGAUGAGCACAAUUCAUAUCUAAUAUUGCCCUUCAAAACUUUCAAAAUAUCUAACAUAUAUCUAUUAAUCAAAAUACCUUUAUUAAUUUUCAAAAGUUUCUUCAAAAAUCCAAACAUCUGAGAUUUAGUAAUGGAAAUUGGGAUUUAGAAGGGUACUUAGAUAAUUUUAGGUUAAAUUUGAAAAUUUUGAAUAGUAGCCAAGAGUAAAUAAGCAAAAUCCUUCUUUUUUGGUAUAAAAUUACAGAACUUAUUUAUACUAUGGAUCAUUUUGAUUCGACAAUUCAAUCUGUGAAAAUUUUAACUUUACUACCCAACUUUUCGAUUUAUUUGAUUUCAGUUGUCAACGACACUUUGACCUUAAAAUUUAAACGCAUUUUGUAGAUUUAGUUAGUAUAAUUCAUGUAACUUGCGCUACUAUACAUUUAUUAAAAUAAAUAAUAGCUUAGAUUUUUAAGAGAAUUAUACGAAUUAUUCUGUGUCGUUAGAUAUAUUUAGUUAGUACAAUCCAAUCUUUUUCUUUUUUUUUUUUCUUUUCUUUCACUAUACGCAUUCUUUUCUGCUACUGCACCCCUCCCUUGCCCUUUGCCACAACUGCCGCCCCUAUCCAGACGUGCUCUCUCUCUCUCACCGUCGUCCUCAAAUACCGCAACACCCUCAUCACCGUCACUAUCACUGUCGUUGCCACCGCUCAUGGCUACGCCCUCCACCAAAGUCUCACCUCAACAAUCUAUACUGCAUUAACUCCGGCGUCGGCGGAGGUGUGGGCAAAAUAGGAGAGAGAAGCACGGCAUUAACAUGGAGGUGGUGGAGGAGGGAAGGGAAGUGGGAGGAGAAAGAGAAAAAGGAACAGCGAAGAGGCAAGAGAAAAACGAAUUACAGAGAAAGGCAAGAAAAAGAGGAAUAAAUAUAUUUUGGUUAGUUUACUAAAAUUCAAUUCUAAUUUGCAAAACUUAAAAAAAUGAUAUAUUUUUGCAGAAAUGCAAGACCAAAAAAAUGAUAUAUUUUUGCAGAAACGCAAGACCAGUGACUUCUUUAUGCAAAUUGGCCAGUUAUUACUAAAUUAUUUAUCUNGAAAUGUGAAUCAACUAUGAUUCGAACUUGGGACCUCAGUACCAACCAUCAAGCCUUUCGCCACUUGCUCUAGGGAUGGUCGGUGAGAAGAGUUAUGAAUGCGGUGAAUCAUUCACCGCAUUUAGAGGUCUAUUUUUAUAAUUAUUUUUUAAAAAAAUUUAUUUUUACAAUUAUAAAAAUUGAUAGGAUUAUUUAUAAAAAAAUUCUUUUAAAAGCACAAAAACAUCUAUGCUUAUAAUUUUUUAAUCGUUGAAUCGUCUCAAGAUUCGUACAGUACUAGUAAAAAAAAAAAUCUUAAUAGGAUACACAAUUAAUAGUACUAUAAAAAUUUUGAGUCAAUUCGACGGUUAAAAUCACAAGCACAGAUAUUUUUAGUUUAAAAGUACACUAGUGUAGUUACCCGCACGAUGUGACGGGUAGAUAUUAUCAAAAUAAUUAUUUUUUUUAGUCAUUGUUGAUCAUCGAUAAUAUUUCAGAGAAGUAAGCCUAAAAUAUACAGUUCAUCAAAUAUAUAGAAAAUAAUACUCUAAAUAUGAAAUGAAGAACGUUAGUUUAAAUAGUUCGCAAGAAUUGGUAAAAAACUACUAAAAAUAAUUUUUUAUAUGUAUUCACUCAACAAUCUAUACAAUUAAACUCAAAGUGAAGAAAGUGAUUAAACUAUAAAAAAAAGAUAAAUACACGUCUGCAAGAUAUAAAAUCUUUAGAAUUAAACAGUAUACAGGAAACAUGAAUAACGUAAACAAUCGUACAUACAAAUAAAUCACAAAAUAUGUCCAAAAUUUAUGGGUUCUCCCUUGUGUAGAGGAGCAAUAAGGGUACCAAAAUUUUGAGAUCCUCCUUGUCGAUGAUGUUGAACCUUUGGCGAAAAUACUUGUAAAGAACCUCCCAAACGACAUUUGACACCUUGUUCCCCACCUCAAGGAUCCGAUCUAUAGAGUCGAAAAUUAGAUCGAUCAAAGACAAAAUCAAUAGAAAAUAAUGCGAAACCUUACCAAUUCGAGGCGAUUUUGAACCGUGGGCAAGAUUUGCCAAAAUUUCUUGAGCAUACGUAGAGAGAGAGAUUAGUGACGGAUAAAUAUUACUAAUAAUUCAAUAGAGAUGAGACAAUUAUAUUAACAAAAUCUCUAAAACAAAAAAAAAAAAAGAAUAUUAGUAAUUUAGCAAGGUUUUUAUCAAGAGUCUUGAUGAACUGGUUCAAAGUGGGGAGCACUUUCAACCUCUGCUUGAGAAUUCUACUUUGUCACUGGAUCCGCACCACCUUCGGCCACUUCACGAAGCAAAUGAAGUCCCUCUUCAGCUAGAGAGCUCUGUCGAUCCCGAAGAGGAUCAUUCCAUAACACCACUUUGAGUAUAGCUUUGGAGGGUACAGAAGAGGCAAAAAUCCUAAAAGGAGUGUGAGAGAUAAAGAAGAUAGGGUUUAUAAAAAACGUGUGGAAAAAGUACCAACAAAUCUCGUAUGGUCUCGACCAUUGAAUAUAUUGAUGAGGAAAUGAUCGGUUUAUAUCGAUCGUUCAAUUGAAAAUUGUAAGGGUUUGGAUUAAAACUGAUGUGUGGUGUCUCUUUUGCAAAGACUCGUAGUGGUUAGGGAAGAUGGGGAGUUACAGAAAAGGGGGAAGACGAAGGGACACAGGAAGAAGAAAGGAAAGGGGAUGACACAUGAGUUAUAUAGAUGGUUGUGGAGAAGAAUGAGGAGUUAUAGAGAAGAGGAAAAUGAAGUGACACAGGGAGGGAAAGAGAAGACGGAGUCACGGGAGUUACAUAGAGAGAGAGGGUAAGCAAGCCAUCUAAAUGAGAAAAAAAAAACUCUUAAAGCAAGGAUGUUGCGCCACAUCAGCAAAAUUAUUGGAAAAUAAUAUAUGUUUAUAUAUAAUUAGGAAAUAAUAUAUGUUUAUAGAUGUUGCGCCAUGUCAGCAAAAUUAUUGGAAAAUAAUAUAUGUUUAUAGAUGAGCACAAUUCAUAUCUAAUAUUGCCCUUCAAAACUUUCAAAAUAUCUAACAUAUAUCUUAUUAAUCAAAAUACCUUUAUU
This 69129-nucleotide long non-coding RNA is filed under the name Ananas comosus (pineapple). RNAcentral's name for it is "long non-coding RNA (ACOM_LNC017499)". The record is from RNAcentral. Lineage: Eukaryota; Viridiplantae; Streptophyta; Magnoliopsida; Poales; Bromeliaceae.